UACACGUCGUCUAGACAAACCUCAACUCAAUGGUGGCAGAGCAUUAAUGAACCUCAAUCCGAUCCUAUGACAAUAGAGCUUGAUUCAUUAUCAACAAACCUUAAUCCGGUGAAUUAGAGGUUUUAUUUUAUAUGGCGGGGAUGACUCAUCAUGAGGUAAGAGGAGGAAGUAUGACAACAGCUUGACCUAUGACAAGGAGGCCAAGGACAAGAGGUUUUUGGCUCUCGCUGGUUUCCCCGCUCCUCCAAUUUGGACAACCGCUUCCUCGGCUUCGCUUCAUCCUCCCCUUCUCUCCCCCCUCCCCUCCCCUCCCACCCCACCCUCGCCCCGCUCCUCGCCCGCUCCGGCGUGCGUUCCCUUCCCCGGCUUCCAACCCUAGCCCUGUCCUCCUCCCGCCGCCUCCCAACCCUCUCCUCCUCCUCCUCCUCCUCGGUCGCGCUUCCCCUUCCCCAUCUCGCCGCCGUUUCUUGGGUCCGGGACACGCUCCUCUAGCUGUCCGCGUAUGGCCUCCGACGGCGCCGCCAGAGUCCGCCCUCCCAAGCUCCCCGUUUGGGAAGGCCUGGACCCAUCCAACGUCCUCACCUACAAGAGACGCCGCCGCGGCACCGGCGCCAACGCAGGCCACAUCGCCGUCACGCCGAGCCCCGACCCUGUCAAGGUACGCAUUUCCCCUCCAAACCCUAGCUCCCCCCUCCCCCCAACUCGUCGUUCUUUGCUACGACGACGACGUGGGUUUUAGUACAGCGAGCGUCUCUCCGGCCUCGCGGUGCCUUCAGUUACUCGUAGAUUUCCUUCAUAUGCCGCCAGAUUUCGGUUCCGUCUUGCGAGAUUCCCUUUCUAUGUCGCAGCGUUUGCUCUCGAGCCUAGGUUUUCCUGUAAUGCUGCCACUCGUCUUCUUGGGCGUGCACACGUCUUCUUGGGUGCCGAAUUAUUGGUCAGUCAUGGCAUUUGCUUCUCGAGAUUUGUCAUUUAUUCCCCUGUUUCCUCCCCUGGGCAGAAUAAGAUGAGCGCGGUGGUGCACGCCAUCAAUUCCCAGCAAGGUGGGCGCCAAAUGCUAGACAGGCACUGGAGAAGCUGGAGGGACACGCUGGAGGGCGUCCUGCAAUCCACUCCUGGGAACCAGAGCGCCGGAGGGAUUCAGAGCUGCAUCCGAGAUGCGCUCAGAUAUAAUGGUUGCCAUCCCAAAGAACAUGUUAGUAAUCCAUCCAGUCCUUGAGAUUGAACAUAACCUGUGCAUGCCCACCUUGUGUAAUGGUACCUUCUCACUUCACCCUAACAAAAUAUUCUAUUUUUGUUUUCUGGAUCUACCAGGGGAACUUAGCUGAUGGCCGAGGAGCAGGCGGAGAGGACCCUGUUGGAGCUGUACAUUCUGAAGAGAAUAAUGCUGCCUUUCAGUUAGAAGAUGGAACGGCUGCAUCUUUGGAAGCCAACAAGGCAGUGUGCCAUAAAGCUCUUUUUGACAUUCUAAUCUCCGAGAAGUUUGCCAUGCUUUGUGAUCUGCUAGCUGCAACAUUCCAUGUCAAUACGCCUGAUGACGUGAUUGGCUUGCAAAUAAUUGAUGCCAAGAUGAGAAAUGGGGAUUAUGCACAGAACCCUGCGCUGCUUGACCAUGAUAUCAAAAAGGUACCUGUUCAUUUGUUUGCCUCGUUCCCCCUUUUUUUUUCCCUGUGCUGUUUUCUCUGAUAUAGAAAAAGAUGUAGCUGUGGUUCUACUUGAGAGCCUAUGGUAGGUUAUUUCAGUGCUCAAAAUUUGAAAACUGUCCCUUUUUCUUGUCUGUUUGACUACAUAUUGAUUCAAAAGGCCAUAUAGUCAUGAUUCUUCCCGUGUUUGCUGCCUGUUUUAGUCCCUUUUUCCACCGCAUCGGUUGGCCCUUGCAAAUUCUUCUAAUAACCGUCCAAAUUCCAAACAUCAGAAUCAUUUUCCUAUGUGACUGUAGCUGGAAUAGGUCUGCUCAACCAAAAGGGCAUAUAUUUAACCUCAUAGCCAUGCUUCUCUACUGGCUUGAGGCCAAUCAGAGAUCUAUUAUUACCUCCUUUUCUAAUAAAGGACAUCUAAUAGCUGUUUCUUGUGGGAAGGGAUGAACAGUCUUGGUCUUCAUGAAUCUGUGCUCUGUUCCUCUCUGCCCAUGUCAUCCGCUGCCCUUGACCUCACCUUGCCAACUUCCUUGGACUUCUCUUGAAGUGAAUCACAAGGUGAUGGUAGUCAUGAAUGCACAUAAAUCGGACAUGGGUUGCAUACUUGCGUCACGCUGACGUACACAACUACUCAAUAAGUAUGUUUAAUCCAUGUAUUUUGAGGAAGCAUUUAUUUACCUUGUUCACUUCUGUUCUUAAAUGAAAGAAGGCAAAAACAGGAAAGUUAUCUUAAUAUUUUUGGGGGCAAGGAAUAAGCAGUUAGAUUUGAUUUGAUUUGUGUGUUAGUACCUCCUAUAUAUCUCAAUGGCCAAAGAGGUCCUCUGAUAUUUGUUUUCCCAUUUUUCUCUCAUCUGUAAAUCCUUUUGUUUGAUGUUAUUCAUGUACCAAACACCCCCAGAAGUUACCAUAAACAUGCAGUUGAAAACAUGCCAUCAAUGCUGUUUGUUUCUUUUAAUAUGUAUGUAUAUUUGUUUAUUAUCUAGAUAUGGAAGAAGAUUGAACAUGUUGGCCAACAAAUGGCUGGUCUGGCAAGCAGUCUCUCACUGAUUUCACAAGCUUCUCAUCAAAAGCAGGUAACAUGAGUUUUCUGUUGGUGUUUCGUUGGCAUAAUUUAUGGUGAUAGCCAUAAAUUUUGAUUCAGGGUGUUGUAUUAUUGAAAUCAUUCCAUUUAUGUUUGCCAUUGCUUAUAGAAAUAUUCUUUGUAGGCUUCUGGCGUUUCAGAAAUUGAUGUGGCUGAACACAGGAUAGAGGUGAGUGGUGUGCUAUGAACAUGUCUGCUAACCAUUGUUUCGUCAUUAGAAUAUGUUAAAUGCCAUUCAUUACUAACUGCACUCUUUAUUAGGAAACAAGUUUGGUUGGUGUUGCCCACAAAGCCCUAAGGGAGUUGACUCCCCCUUGCGAUUCUGGCCAUUCUACGAUACCAAAUGGACCGGAUGGAAUUUGCAAGGAUUGUGGCAGAAAGGCAGACAGCGGAGGAAGAAUUAUCUGUGAUAGAUGUGAAGCCACAUACCAUGUUUCAUGUCUCAAGCUUGCCAUUGAUGAAGAGGCCCCAGCAAAAUGGUACUGUCCCACCUGUGUUGGAUUAGAUGGACCUUCAAAGAAUGACAACAAUGGCAGAUCACAUGAAGGCUGCGAUGUAUGCGAGUGGCUUGUGUUCGAGAAACCUGAAGAACCGGCUGAGGAUGUUAGCCAACCUGAAUUGGCCGUCAAAACACAGGAGAGCUCAGUGUCAAGCAUGGAUGAAGAUAGUGAACCAGACCUCUCAACAACUGCUCUAGCAAACUUGUGCAAGCAUUGUGGCACAUGUGAAGAUGAGAACAAGAAGUUCUUGGUAUGCGGCCAUCCUUAUUGUUCUUACAAGUUCUAUCAUGUGCUGUGCAUGAAAGAAAGCCAGAUUGCAAGUGAGAAGCAGAAGAAGCAAGCAUGCUGGUACUGCCCGUCUUGCCUGUGCAGAUGCUGCUUCAAGAACAAGGAUGAUGAAGAAAUAGUAUUGUGUGAUGGCUGUGAUGAUGCUUAUCACAUUUACUGCACUGUCCCGCCGCUCGAUUCUGUCCCGAGAGGUAACUGGUACUGCAUGUCAUGUAAUGCACGGAGGUCAGCGCGUGGGAUGCAGAAGUACGAGGAGUCAAUCCUGCAGAAGACCAGUCGUGUUCCUGAUGCCAAAAGGCCAAAGGUGCAGGCAGCUGCUCCAGAAAAAUAAGUAGCAGCGGUGUGGAUGAGGUUUCACAGGCUUACUAGGGUAAAAGAAAGGAAAUGAUUCUUUUGCCCCCCUGAAGGGGUAUACAUUACUCUUGACAGCUUGAAUAAUCGGAGGAUGGGUUGUGUAUACAUUGGGAAAACGCCCUGUUGGCUGGUGAAGAUGAGAUGAUAGCAUCCGUGUGGAUGCGCACGUUGGUCCCUGCGGAUGAACUGCUGAUAUUGAUUUCCUGUCCUGUUUCUAUUUUUUCCUUCCUGGAAUUCUUGUGACUAUUCCGUGUAAGUUGUUGUGCUGUUAUGUUGUGUCUUCCCUUUACCUGAUGGUAAGUGGUAACAAUGACACCCACCCAUGUUGACAUCGCUUAUCGAUGAUAUGUACAUGUCUGCCACGUGUUUUGUUUGUGUUAAACAAUGUGUGCUCUUCUUACAUACUUUUGCAUAGCUUGUCAUCGAUGUCUGAAAGUUUGUUACUGCUAUUAUAUAUGUCUCUGAUUGAACCCGUAAGGCAGAGAACUUGGGUGAUAGCUGCACAAUUAUGCAUCUUCUAUUUUUUUUUUUUUUUGGAAUGUGGGUUUGAAUCGUGAUGACUUUGGUAGCAUGGUGACGCAGAAGGCCUGAGAACCUUUGGUGUCAAUGCAGCGUACCCUGCUUGUGCCUAAAUUAGUUAGACGGAUAUGGCGGGAGUGGUUUCCUUCAUAGUCGUACUACCUUUGAUGGUACUGAGACAUUUUUUUUAAGGAAAUGGUACCGAGACUUGAAUGGUUGCCUGAAUUCAGAGAAUUUGGGUGUGCAUGUACCAUCAUGCGCGCGCGUGCGCAUGUGGAAGGCCAACCAAAGUUCCUUACAUCGAAUGGGACAAAAAAUUCUAAUUUGGUUUUUGGCUUUUCAUAUAUGUUGUGUUAUAUAGAUAGAUAUACACUAUGUCUAUAUACAUAUGUAUCUAGAAAAGCUAAACAUCUUAUGAUUAUAAAGAUUUAGAACAGAUUUAGUAGCGGCUCCGGCUUCGGAUGAAGCCUUAUGAGCUAGAGCCAUUUUCCUACUCGAUGGGUGGAGCCAUGAGAACGUGACUUUUUCUUGCUUUUCUUUAUAAUUUGAUAUAAAUUUUAGCAAAACUGUGAUUAGAGUCUUCUUGUCAAACAUUUUCCAAAACAGUUAUGGAGACAAAUGAGAUGAGCUGCUGCAGCUUUCACUUUCGUCCAAAAAAAAAAACCCUCCUCUGAAAAGAGAGAAGGCAAGGGAGCAGGAUUGCAGGAGUAGCCAAGGGGGGACAGAAGAGGAGGGCAGAGAAGGCACACGUAACGCGUGGCAACAGGCAACUCAUCACAUCAUCAGUUGACGGACGGAGUGCUGAAAAAUCGAAAAUUAAUAAUCGCAUCAUCACGCCAACUGAAUUCCCAACCUAAAACCAAACCGAAGGAAGCAACAGAAUAUCCCCCCCGGCCCCUUUCAACUCGUCUUCCUGCUCCGUCCGCCCUCCUCCUUCUUCCUCCUCCUCAUGUCGCCUCCUGUCCAUCUACAUCUUCUAUUCUAAUCCACCUCGAUCGAUCUUGUCUGCUCGAUUGGACCCUAGAUAGAUAGGAGAAAAGAGGAGAGCAUUUGUGGUUGGAUAACUGGGCGGAGCAGUUUCUCAUAUCGAAUUGAUCGAUUAAUUAAUACAUACUAAAUAUAUAUAUAUAGUUAUUAUAUACGCCAAGAGAAUAGAGGAACGCCGGCCGGUUUCAGUUGUCUCCUUCCUCCGAUCCCUCCCUGCCUGCCUCGGCGGCCGGCUGGGCUCGGGCGUUUUCCUUUUUUUCCCUUCCCAUGGAGGACGCCAAGAUGGGGAACGCCGCCACCAUCCGCGCCGUGCUCGCCAUCCUCCAGUGGUGGGGAUUCAACGUCACCGUCAUCAUCAUCAACAAGUGGAUCUUCCAGGUCCGUCACGCCCACCAUCCCUUCCUAUUUGGGUUUUCUUUCCUCGUCAGUUUUUUUUUGGUUGUUUCAAUUCAAUUCCCAGAGAUGAUCGUGUAUAUAGUUGUGUACUUGUGUUAUAUUCAAGGCAAUUUAGGGGUGGAUCCGUGAGGAAGGUAGCGACUUUAUUUCGUUCCAGAGAUUUUGCCUCUUUUUAGUUUUCGUCUUCCUCACAUCGUUCCAUGGGUGCAGAUUAAUCGCCCAUGAUGCUGUCGUCUUGUCUACUGUUUUGGCAGAAACCAAAAGGAAUCAUCUUUUUGUCUGUCUGAGAAUUACUUCCACUGGUGGUGUGUAGAUUGGGUUGGGAUGUUUAUGAUGGAGUCAGAACAGUAGGGUUUUCUUUUUCCACCCGGAUUGGGAAUGGGCAAUUAACGGACUGUCUUGAUGAAUUUCAGAGUUUACAGUCUUGAUGAAUUUUAGAGUUAACUCGUGAGAUAGACAGAAUGUAAACGCCGCCUUUUUCUUGUUGACAACCAUUCUAGCAUAUGGUACAGCUGAAAAAGCUUUCCUCAAUCAAGAAAAUAAGUUUGGCGUCCAGUCUCCAGAUUUAAUUGUAAUUGUGGUAGUCCUAGAAACAACAUCUGUGCAUUUGAAUUUCUUAACCUUGUGACCUAUAUGUAUAUCCUGCCAUUUUUUCCCAUCAUAAACAAAAACCAGAAGGCAAAAUGAAAAUGGAUGCAGGGUUAACAAUAGCAUCCAGAUUGCACCUUUGUUCAGCUAUGUGAUUUCUUAGACUACAAGUAGGCAUGUGGUAUGUACAGUACUACAGUUUGCAACCAUGCAUGUUCCUAUAGAUUGUCGUUUACUUAAAGUUGUUGGAAUGAGCAGCAAGGUUCUUUUUCUGUCACGCUGACUCUGGAUUUGAUGGAGUGUCAACAUCUAGGAUCAUCUUUGACUUUGGCAGCCUUAGUGACAAAUGCCCUGCCAUGUUUGGUUGCCAGUUCCAUGAUAUCUUGAUAUUUAGAAUCCAAACAUUUCCCUUUAAGCUUCUAAUUCCCGAGAUUGUUUCUUGAGGAGGAACUCUGUUGAAAUAUUUUGCUUGUUUCUUGACUUGACAUGCUAGCUUGGUAAUAAUGAGAUGGAUUAAUUGAUUCUGCAUUUACGUGAUGAUUUCUAUUGUGAAUUAGCACAAAUAUAAAUAUGUACCUAGAAAGUAGACUCUGCUUGUUUUGUUCUUCAAGGAAUCCUCUACUAACAUGUGCUCUCUGUCAGAAAGACCCUUCAAGAAGAAGCUUUCUGUUUCUCCCUUUCCAUUUAAUUAUUUGAUUUGUGUUGUCUUUUGUUGCUCUGAUGUUGGUAAGGGACAGUUGAUGAUACUAGGGACAGUUGAUGAUACUAGUACUUUCCAUUGCCGCUUGCCUGGCACAAAGGCAUGAACUUGACGAUCUUGAGGUCAAAUUUUGCAGAAACUGGAGUUCAAGUUCCCUCUGACGGUGUCGUGCGUCCACUUCAUAUGCUCUUCUAUCGGAGCCUACAUCGCAAUCAAAGUUCUGAAAACAAAGCCACUGAUCGAGGUUGCCACGGAGGACCGAUGGAGAAGGAUAUUCCCAAUGUCAUUCGUGUUCUGCAUAAACAUUGUGCUGGGGAAUGUGAGCUUGCGGUACAUUCCGGUCUCCUUCAUGCAGACCAUAAAAUCUUUCACUCCUGCAACCACAGGUUAGUUUCUUUUCUUCUAUGAUGAUCUUGUCAUUCUAUAUUUUCCUGUUCUGCAUUCGUGCAGAACGAUGAUAGUUUCUGACAAAGCAAUCUCUUCCAUUGAGACGAGACGCAGUGAUUCUUCAGUGGUUGGUGUGGAGGAAAUACUUCGAAUGGCGCAUCUGGGCUUCUUUGAUCCCUAUUGUGGGAGGCAUUCUUCUGACUUCGGUAACUGAGCUGAGCUUCAACACGUUUGGCUUCUGCGCCGCCAUGGUGGGCUGCCUGGCCACAUCCACAAAGACCAUUUUGGCAGAGUCACUGCUCCAUGGAUACAAAUUCGACAGGUAUAGUACAAGUUACUAUAAUAGUAAAAGAUAUGAUCUUGAUUUACAUUUACUGCUUGAUUGGGUUUCCAUGGAUAGAACAGAAGGUUAAAAUGUUCUUGUAUGUGUGACUUUGUGCAGCAUCAACACGGUGUACUACAUGGCUCCCUUUGCGACGAUGAUCCUGUCAGUGCCAGCCAUGGUGCUGGAGGGCAGCGGCGUGGUGAGCUGGCUCUACACGUACGAGUCCGUGGGGCCAGCGCUGGCGAUCAUCGUCACGUCGGGGGUGCUGGCCUUCUGCCUCAACUUCUCCAUCUUCUACGUGAUCCACUCGACGACGGCCGUGACGUUCAACGUGGCCGGCAACCUCAAGGUGGCCGUGGCGGUGCUGGUGUCGUGGAUGAUCUUCCGGAACCCCAUCUCGGCCAUGAACGCCGUCGGCUGCGCUGUCACGCUCGUCGGCUGCACCUUCUACGGCUACGUGAGGCACCUCAUCUCGCAGCAUCAGGCCACCGUGGCGACCGGCGGCGGCGGCCCCCGCACGCCCAGAGGCCGCUUGGAGAUGCUGCCGCUCACCGCCGAGAAGCAAGGCGACAAGAUAUAGCAGCAGCUGCUGCUGAGUGGAGAUGCUGCCACAGCUCUUCUUGUUCUUGGUCAUAUCAUAUCGUCAUUAGUAAUAGAGAAAGGAAAGGAAUAAACCAACAAGAUAUACACAUCUGAUCUGAAUAUCUGAUCGAUCUAACGGCAGUUUCAGUUUCAGAAUCCAUCGAUCAUCAGAGAUGACCUAAUAGUUGAGUUUUAGAGAAAUGGAUGGAAGCUGAGUUGGUGUAGUUGCCAAUUCUUUUUGCUCAUACACAUACUAGCAUCUUUUCUCUUGUCUUUUUUGUGUUUGUAUUGAUUGAUGAUGAUGAUAAAUUUGGCCAUCCAGAUUUUGGUAUUGUCAAUGUUGCUACAACUACUGCUGUAGCUGUCGAUUUCAUCUUUACCAUCUUUACAACUACAAACCUGAAAUGAUUUUGUUGCCAACCAGAUUCUGAUAAGAGUGUGACCUGUCAGUGUUGCUUACAGAGAAAUUUCAGGUCUAUAAAAGAUUUGGAAUGAUAUAUCUUCGUCGAAUCAUAUGCAGCGUAUUCUCGUUAGAAUUAGAUAGAAGGCAAAACAAAAAGAUAGAGAAAAAAUGAGUUACUUACAAAUUUGUUUAUGUAUAUAUGGAUUUAAAAAGCUAAGCUGCCGUACGAAUUUGCAAGAAACAGAGUAGGGUGAGGCCUUAGAAGCAGAGUACCAAAAAAAAAACGAAUUCGGAAGAAACAGAGUAGGGUGAGGUGUUAGAAGCAGAGGACCCAAAAAAAACAAAAAACAAAUUGCACGCUCGGUGGGACUCGAACCCACAAUCCUUUGAUUAGAAGUCAAAUGCCUUAUCCAUUAGGCCACGAGCGCUUGUGUGAUACGGAUACAUGUGUAACUUUUAAGACUAUUCGGUUUACUACGUUGAUUUUGAAUCUGACUCUGACAGAGUACAUGAAAAACGUGACUUGCCCUUAAAUCUAACUAAAUACAUAUUACCUUAGAAACCAAUAAAGCCAAGUUAACUAUAGAUCUUGCUAGGGUUGUAGAAACUUUUGGAUGGGAUCUUUGCUAAAGCAACUCCAAAAAUCUCUCUGUUGGUGAUAAAAAUAUAGGUUUUUGGAUAUUGUCUUCCUCUUUCCUAUUUCUCACUGGCCAGAGUUGGAGAGCAGUGUUGCCUCUCUAAAGUGAGCACUAAGAUAGAAAGAAGUUAUUGAAGGGUAAAAAGACAUAGAAAGUAUUUUUUUUAUUCAAAUAAUUUUCUAAGUGAUGAUUUAUGGAGUAAAUUUAAGAAAAAAAAGUUAGAGAUGCUCUUAUAUGCUGCGUGACACAAUUUGGCUUUUUUUUUUGAAAGACGACAAGAGCUUUGCUGAUUUUUAUUAUACGAAUAAAAAGAAAACAAUACUAAAAAUUACAACCACUAACGCUGCAGCGACUUCUUCUUUUUUUUUUUGAGGAAGCCAUUCGGCGUACUUUAUCGAUCUUAAAAAAUAGUUACAUCAUUCACUAAACCUUCUAAUAUAAAGCUAGGGGGUUCAUCGACCCAAAUACAAGAAGAUUUUAAUGUAAUAGCUACCCUAGCUAAUUCAUGUACCACUCUAAUGGCUUUACGAUUACAAUGUUCCUAUUGAAACAAACUUUUGCCAAAGCUGAUUACGCUGCAGCGACUUCUGUACUACUUGUUCCGCCACUAAAACUACUAAAGACACAACUUGGCUUUGUGCUGUCAGUUUUAAGUUUUAACUCGUUGCAACCGCCGAGCUGCUUGUGCUCCAACAAUUCAAACGAAGCCCAACCCAAUGUGCCAACCAGCCGGCCUAAUGUACUCGAGCCUAGUUUUCCAUUGAUUGGGAGUUCGGGACUGGCCCGUUUCCAUUGUUUUUUAGUCAAUCUAGUGUCCUACUUGUGGGUGAAAAAAACGGUACUCUCCCUAGUCAUAAUAAUUAAUAAGUGGGGGUUUUGGAUGCCUGUAGUCAAUUAACCAUUUGUACCUUUCAUUCAAAAUUCACUCUUAUAUGUUGAUAUGAUCCAUUUAAAAAUUAUAUUAGUAAAUUUGUAUGUUUUGUUUUGUUUUGUUUUGUUUUGUUUUGGGAACUAUAUAUUGAUGUCGAGAAUACCAUUUAUCUAUGAUUGAAGAAAGUACAUUUUAUUAAAGAACUUUGAUCGUACAAAACUGGAAUGAAUAUAACAUUUCAGUUGUAGUCCUUUGAUAAAGUACCUAAAGUCCACACCAUUGUUCUGUAUUUAUUUUUUUCUUGCCUGGAUUGGAAUGAAUAUAACAUUUCAGUUGUAGUCCUUUGAUAAAGUACCUAAAGUCCACACCAUUGUUCUGUAUUUAUUUUUUUCUUGCCUGGAUUCACUGAGGGGCCAUUUAGAAUGCUGGUUCUUUUAUCUUGAUUUUUGUAUUUUUUUUCUAUAAAAUUAGACAUAAUCCUUUGAGUUGAUAUACUAUUUAUUUAUGUGAAAUGCAUGUGUUCCAAAGGGACCUUGUUAAGAUAGGCAUGAGAUUGAUUGGGAGAACAAUUUGGGGCUGUUUGGGACUGCUUUUGUGCUGAUUCUAACGAAAAGAAGCAAGUCACCCUCUCGAAAUGCUGCAAUUCGGAGGCAAUUUCUACAACUGCAUGGUCAGACUUAGUUCCUAGAUAGAACAUGAAAGGAACUUCUCCUCAUAAAAAAAGCUCUGCUCCUACCUUUUUUCCUUGUCACGGUCCUUCUCCACGCCACAACCAACUCAUCCCCCAUAUUCCUCCAUCCCAUCAAUUUUCAUCCUCUCCACACCACUCAUCUGCCCUGCCGGUUCAUCCUCUGCCUAUCGGGCUCCUCCUUCGUGCACCGCAACACCGGCUAAACAUCCUCCUUGUCUUCCUCACUGGGGGAGGACAAGGUAGCGACAACCCACAAGAAGCAUUUGCAACAAGAAGCAACGACGACAACUUCGAGCUGAGGGGGCCAAGUUGAUCUGUGGCUAAGGACAAAGGUAGCCGUAUUUUUUCUGCCAGCCAGCAGUGUUUUUCUCUCACAAUAAAUCAGCCAAUAGUAAUUUCAACCUUAACUUUUCAGACCAGCGAACAAGCCGGCAGCAACUUGCAGCAGUGAGGGUCGUCAUGCGGCCUUCGCCGAAUUCUCUUCACCUCCUAGUUCUCCAUGGAAGCUGACUCCUAAACUCUAAACUUUUCGGCUAUUUGUUUUUUUAGGGAUUUAGCUUAUUAGCCAAAAAUAACAGUUUUAAAAUAAAGCGUGGUCAAAUAAAGCUCCAGUCGAGGACGGACCUACACACAAGGAGUGAGGGCACGAACUGCCACCUAAAUUAUAGGUUUUUAAAGAAAACAUAUAUAUAUAUAUAUCUUCUUUCACGUAGCUUAGGUGAACAUAGGAGGGUGAAACAUUUCAUAUUCCUUAAUUAAAAAGAAAAAAAAAGUUGUAGAGGUCUAACUCAAAUUUCGUACUAGCGGUUUCGCCCCUAUUGAGUGAAUUGAAUUUAAGCAGGGGGUGGCGAUAUGAUGAUGAUGAUGGUUGUCGAGUCUUGGCGGCAUCUCAUCGAUGAUCUGCCGGACGCGGCAAUGCAGCAAAAUAGAGUUAUUACUAGAGUAGUACGAGAGUUGGAAGAAAGAAAGCAGAGGAUGGAUGGAGACGUUUGAAAGGAGACGAGACUUACUCGCAUGGCCGCUCGGGCCGGGCCGGGCCGAGGGGCAAACCAUACAAAUCCAAUUAUCCAUGCAACUUAAAGCAGGUGCAGCUCAUUUUCUGAUUUCUGUUGUAGGAUAGGAUAGUACUAGCAGUAGUAUUUCCGUUCUGAUGAGCUAGCAUGGCAUGCAUGGCAAUCGAUGGAAGCAGCACGAAAAAGGCGAUGCCAUGCCUGCCGAUGAGCUAGCCGGCUAGCUGCAGAUAUGACAGCAUGAUGAGUGAUUCGAUGGACUGCCUCGUAUCAUAUCAUAUGCCUAUUGCAACUAUGCUUAUGCUUUCCUGGCGCAGCUGGGCAAUCGAUCGAAGCAAUUUGCAAAAGAAAUGCAUGAGCGAGCGAGGCAGGCAGCUAGCUACACGAGCUAGAUCCUGCAAAAAGCGCGCUAACUUUGCAGUGCCGCCGCUCCUCCCAUCUCAUGCAUCUUUAAUCUUUCUUCAUACAGUAUAGAGGAGUGAGAGAAAGGAUCUUUACAACUUGCAUUGGCCGUCAAAAAAGUGAUGAUACGUACAGUACAGUCCAUGCUGGCCUCUGUUUGUUGUCUUGUUUCCUUCAAUAAUUCCUUAGCUAGCUAGCUUGCUUAUUUUUUUCAAACUUAAUUGAAUUCGAUUCAGUGUCAGCUAGUUUGUUUCCUCGUCAGGCACGCAUGGACGUUGUGCUUGCUGUUCGAAAACGAGCUAGUAUCCAGCCUCUUCUCUGACUGUGCAUGGCGGGCGUAUAUGGCCACCACAUCAUUUCCCAUGACGACCCAGAGCAUGCAUGGUUUCUUUUCUUUCCAGCCUUUUGUACUGUAAUUGCCAAAUGCCAGCAACCGUGCUAGCUGUUUGCUGCAGCAACUUUGCAUGGCCAAAUGGCAGCAACCUUGCUAAUAACUACAUGCAUGUGUGUCUAAAUAUUGAUAGGAUAGGAUGAGGUGAAAAGUUUUUUGUGGGUUUGCAAUUGCAGGCCAGCCGAUCUCGAAUGACACGGACACUGCAGGAUCAUCAUUAUUCAUGAAUGCAGUCGUAUAGACCUAUAUAUCGAUGGAUCGAUUGCGAAGUAGGUAACAGUACGUCUAGCAGCUCCUCAGAGGCACGCAUCAUGAGUUUUCCGCAAAACUAGGUCAGAUACUACCUAGCAAUGCAAAACCAAAGGGGAUAUAUACUGCACUGGACACGAUCAACGAUACGACUCAGACAGCCAAGACUCAGCUCCGCCGUCGUCUCGUCGUCCUAUACCAUAUAGUAUUAUACUACUGGAUGGUACCGUGGGAUCGAGCUACUAUCAUGUAUGCAAUCGAUCGAUAUCGUUGCCUAGCUACCAUGCAUAUAGCAGCUGCAGCCACACUCCAUGAUACUCCUACGACAUGGCAGUGCAUGCAGCCUUAUGCAUGGCCAGCUACAGCGCUAGAGCGACUCUUUCCUGUUGCAUGCAUCCAUCAUCAUCCAUGCCACUGCAGCUGGACUACUCUACACUGCAUGCAAGAUGAGUGGUAUCUCACUCACUUGCAUUGCUGCUAGCUGCAGCCUUGUACACCAAAACUUUCAAUAAUGUGACGUAGCGUGUACAUGCUCAACAUGUACUAUCUACACCAUCCAAAAUUGCUUUAAGAUUCGUGCAUUUUUACUCUCCCACUACUACUUCAUACUUUUCCACUGUUGCUUCACAUUACUGAUUUGGAUUGCACACAUCUCAAUGCAAUGUUGAACGGUGAAGAUAGCAGGUGUUGAAAAUGUAUGCACCAAAAAACUGCGUUCCAAAACUUUCCUUCAACACCAAAACUUUCCUUCAGUGUAGUCAAGGCUCAAGAGCCAGCCGAGCCGACCUACACACACCUAGCUAGAACACAGGCCUAGCUAGCUAAUAUGUAUCAUUACACUCGAUCGUGUUUUUUUAUACCAUGUGUGUUCUUCAUUCCUAGCUGCUGAUAUAUUUGCUUGAUUAGCUAGGCUGCCAACUCAACAAGAUGUGUGUGUGUGUGUGGAUGUGCAUGGUGCUUUGAUACAUCCACCAACCAUACUAACUUGGACUCAACAUGCAUACACAUGUUUUAAGUUCCUUCUCGGUGUGGUAGCAACACCACCUGCUUUAAUUUGAAACAGCAGAGAGAAAGAGAGAGACCGAUCGACAUGGAAGUUAUGCAAUGGCCAUAAUGUUGGGAGAAAAUGGAACAAACCGCCGUGUGACAGCAUCAUAUAUAUUCCCUCCGUCCCUGAAAGAAUCAAUUCCUAGGAUCCGUGCCAGUCAAACUUUUUAAAGUUUGACUAAUUUUAUAAAAAAGAGUAACAACAUCUAUAAUAUAAAAUACACAUUAUAUGAAAAUAUAUUAUAUGAUGAAUCUAAUAAUACUAAUUUGAUACUAUAAAUCUUAGUAUUUUUUUCUAAAAAUUUGGUCAAAGUUUAAAAAGUUUGACUUAGAACAACUCUAGAAAUUGACUCUUUCGUGGACGGAGUGAGUAUUCCAUCCAGUACUGCACGAAUAAUCAAUGCCCAGCUGUUCCAGAUCGAAUAGCAUGCAUACGACGACAGUAGAGUGGAGAGACAGGACUGGUCGUACAACGCAAGCGUCGUCCUGACAAGUCAGUCGUCCGAGAUCGAUCCAUGCAUGCAUGCAUCAUCAAGUAAGACCUUGUUUAGUUCCGAAAAGUAAAAAGUUUUCGAUACUGUAGCACUUUCGUUUGUUUGUGACAAAUAUUAUUCAAUCAUGAACUAAUUAGGAUCAAAAGUUUCGUCUCGUGAUUUACAGCUAAACUGUGUAAUUAGUUUUUGUUUUUAUCUAUAUUUAAUGUUUAAUGCAUGUGCCACAAGAUUCGAUGUGACAGAGAAUCUUGAAAACUUUUUGGUUUUCAGAGUGAACUAAACAAGGCCUAACUAAUUAACUGAUGAGAAACACCAGCUCUAUCUACGUACUACUGUAUAGUUAGACCCUGUUUAGUUCCCCACCUAAAAAUUUUCCAUCUAUCUCAUCGAAUCUUUAGACACAUGUAUGGAACAUUAAAUAUAAAUAAAAAAUAAACUAAUUACACAGUUUGGUUGAAAAUCACGAGACGAAUCUUUUAAGCCUAGUUAGUCUAUGAUUAGUCUUAACUCUUAAGUGCUACAGUAACCCACAUAUGCUAAUAACAGAUUAAUUAUGCUUAAUGGAUUUGUCUUCUAGUUUCCGGACAAACUAUGUAAUUUAUUUUUUAUUAGUUUUUAAAAACCCUCCUGAUAUCUUUGUGACAUAUCCGAUGUGACAGCCAAAAAAUUUUUAUCUCCAAUCUAAACGAGCUAGACUCUUGAUAAUAGUAGUUUGGUAACCUAGCUAGGCAACGAUAUAUAUGCUUUGAUAUAUGGAGUAUACUCUAAUAUGGAGACACACACAUUUCUGCAUUGGAGCAUUACUCCUACGUGUGUGUUUGGGUCUAGCUAGCAAAUCUAAACCAUGUUAUCCCAAGCCUGCCCCUAGCAAGCCAAGACAUGUUUGCUUGGUUGCAUGCACUGCUGAGCUAGGCUAGGAUAAGUUGUUGUUUGGUUGGUUGACUUGGUGAAGAAAUAUCAACCUGGUAUUUCUAUUUGGGCUUGGCUCUGGUUGUACGGAUGGCCAGAUAGAGCCUGACUCCAGGAGCUGGCCAGACAACUAAACAACCAAAACUUGAUCCAUCCAAGCAAAAAGUUAGAUUUGGAGGACAACCAAACACACCUAUAUAUAUCUUAAAGUAGUUUCGUAUUGAGAUGCGUAUUUGCAUAUUUCUUGAAACGAAUUCAAUGAGUGAGAGAGCCAGGGAAUAAACUUUACCACGAGAUGCAUGCAUGUAUAGGAGAGAGGACAUGCACACAAUGCAAUGCAAGGCAAGGAACUAGCUAAUUGAUGCAUGUGCAUAUCAUCCGGGGUCCGGCCGGGCAUGAUGAGUAGUAGCGUGGUGGAGGCUACCGGUCAACCACGCUGCACGGCCACACAGGAGUAUUAUUAUUGUAUACUAUGUGAAGCUAUUCCAACGACGCAUAUGCAUGCAUCAUGCAUGUCCUAUAGUGGACUCUAGUUUGUUGUAUUCCAGUCCAGUCAGUCUCGGCAUUAUAUUCAAUCAGACUGCUAAGUGUGCAGGUAACAAUACAUAAUACAUAUAUAUAUAUUCAAACAUGACUAUCCAUCCGUCGAUCAACUUUGCUUAAUUUAUUAGUCUACUACUAGGCAUGAGUUAGCUAAUGCUCCCCCCAUUUCAAAUUUAAAAUCAUUUUGUCUUUUUCUAAAAUCAUAGUUUUUACUAUGUAUAUAUAUAUAUAUCUAUAUAUAUAUAUAUAUAUAUAUAUAUAUAUAUAUAUAUAUAUAUAUAUAUAUAUAUAUAUAUAUAUAUAUAUAUAUAUAUAUAUAUAUAUAUAUAUAUAUAUAUCUAGGUAUAGUGUUAUUAAGUACAUAUAUGUAAAAAUGCUAUAUAUGAUGUACCUAUAAUAGCCAAAACGACUUACAAUCUAGAACAGAGAAAAUAUGUACUUUUUCAACUGUGUUGAAUUUACUUGUCACCAUGUUUUAAAUGCAUAUCAUGUUUGGCCGUGCUUCCUUUUUCUACAUAAAAAUUUAGAUACUUAAAAUAUUCAAAUUAUAUGAUUCACUGCUAAUACUAGAUAUAUUAUUUUGAAGUAUGUAAAAUAUAAUUGUUUAAGAAAAAUAGUCAUAGUUGCAUUGCUAGGGCAGUUAAUUAAAUUAUUGGUGACAAGUAAACCCAAAAGAAGGGAAGUAAUAAGUAGCAUUAUAUAUAUAUAUAUUAUAUUUUUCUCUAAACCUAAAUAUAAGUCCACAUGUUUUUUUAAGUUUUGGCAAUUAGUGGCUCCCGUGGCUAUCGACAACAUGAUGAUGUAUAUAUUAGUGUUUUGGAACAUACUUUCAUGGAGGUAUAAUAUAUACCCUUUCUAUUUAUAAGCAACACAUAUUUAAAGAAAUCAUUUCUCAAAGUGUAGUAUUGAAGAUUGUGUCGGUCUAUAUUCAUAUAUAGAAUGUAUUCUUAGAGCACUCACAAUGUAAGACUUUAUCACAGAGUCCAAGACAAUCAAUUACAUAUUAUUUAUGAUAUUUUACUGAUGUGGCGGCAUAUUUAUUGAAGAAAGAGGUAGAAAAAAUAAGACUCCAAGUCUUAUUUAGACUCUAAGUCCACAUUGUUCGAGGUAAUAAAUAACUUUAGACUCUAUGAUAGAGUCUGCAUUGUGAGUGCCCUUAUACUGUAUAACUUUAUAUUAAAAGAAUUAUUUUCUUAUUUGAUAUUGUUAGUCAAAGUGUAACAUUAAAGACCAUAUUGAUGUCUUAAUUAAGGAAACUCCUGGUAUUAAACGUGAUGUUGUAUCCAAGAAUUUCAUAAAAAUUGUAUAAAUCUUUUUUUUUUAUAGAAAUCGGUUCAACUCCGUAAGGAAAAAAACGCAGGACUAAAGGCAUUCCAAAUAUUAUAGUCUUACACUGUGCAUGAUACUACUAUAUUUGCGAUUAGUGAGAGUAGUUUAGUUUAGUUUAGGACGGGGUUGGGAUUGAGAGGACCAAGAGCACAAGGCAAAGGCAAACAAUAACAUAAGGCAACACGUACAACAUGCUACUUUAUUGCAUUGGUACGGUUUCCCCAAUCAAUGCAAAUCCUAGUAACAUAAUCACCCUCUCGUUGUCCUAAACCCCACGAGCGCCUAGACAAUAAGUAGGGUAUUAACAUACUAUAUGCUGUCCAUCAUACUGCAUGUAGAAGAAACUUGUACAACAAUGAGGUAAUUAGUAUAGGAGGAGGCAUGAUUGCUGGGUUGGUUGGGUUGACGGUUCUUGGGGAUGGGGAGCCCGGGUGAGAGGAGAGGCUGUCGUCUGUGCUGCCUCAAAAGGCGGUUUACGUUGUAGCGGCCAGAGAGAUUUGUACGGGUACAAGGAAACCCAUCAUUCCGGUUGCUGCCUCAAACUGAUGCCCAUUUCCAGGCCAUCCAUCCAUCCUUGGAAUUGCCAUGGGGACUUGGAUUCCGGCCCUGAAUAUACUCUCCCCCUAGAGACCAGGCAUGUGGCCUCACUCCGCAAAGACAAAUCUCUCGUACUCCCUGCCCUCCUUUGAAACCCUGUCCUCAUCCUUCUCCCCCUCUCUCCGGGUGCGACAUUCUUGCUGAACAUCUCCAACAGUUUUGUAAAUGACUUGUAAUCUAUAAUUUUUUUUAGCAAAGUAAAGAAAAAUCCUCUCCAAUAGUUUGACAUAUCAAUUCCUCAUCUUUUCUAACUUGGUAUAUCUCCCUGUCUAACGCACAAAUAUGCGCGCGGGCUCCGUAUUUGGCAUCGGUCUUUCUUCUUAUACUUAGCGAGUCUCUUUGUUUCGUUAGCAAACAGUACUAUUUUGUGGUGUGUGCAUGCAUGUACAAGUGUAUAUUCGAUGGUGUGACCGUCACUCUUUUUUUUUCUUAUAACGAAUAAGUUUUAUAUUUAUAACAACGAAGUUGUAAUUAACAAUGAGCCCAUGUACACUGUCAUAUACGUACGGAGGCCAUGGCCAUGGUACAGGCUCCAGCUAAAGCCAACAUGGGCGGGCAGACAGCGGAGAGGCAGCACAGCUCAGAGACCAUACGUAUAUGCAGGGUUGCAGGGCGCAGCCGUGAAUUGCAGGCCGUCCUACUGCUACUGCUCAUCUCUGAUACGAUACGCAUGGUCGUCUCAGCAAUUCCUAGUAGCAUAUUGCAGCCUUGCAGGUAGUUGCAGCCAGCCCGAGCCGAGUAGACUAGACCUGAGUGGGUUUUCCGAUGCCGGACGGCUGCUCUGCUCCUUCAUCCUGCAUGCCAUCACUUGUUCUUGACUGGGAGCAAGCAAAUAGUGACAUGGAAGCCAUGGAUUGAAGAAUAGAAAGCCAAGCCAGACUGUGAGAGUGAGAGUGAGUGAGAGACUGCUCCAGCAGCAGCAUCCAAAUCAUCGUUCCCCCUGUGCAACAGACACCCCAUCAUUACCAUAGUCCCUCCCUCCCUCCCCUGCAUUGCUCUCAGCACCCCAGCUCUGCCACUGCUAUACUACCUCCUCCCUCUUCUUCAUCUCGUGUGCCUGCCUAUAAAACCCAACCCAUCGCACAGACAAGGCCAGCUCAAAGCACGCACCACCAGUGUCCUCCUGUCCACACUCCAUCAUCUGUCCAUGCACCGCCACCACCAUUGAGCAGAGCACACCAACGCCCACCCACCCAGCAACAGCAACAGCAUGAACGCCUUCUACUCUUCCAUGGCGCACGGUCUGGACGCGCUGCACCGCAGCCCACACGCGUGCCUCUCCGCAGCCUUCCUCCAGCAAGCCGCGGCGCUGCUGCGUUCCCUGCACUCGCAGCUCCUCCACCUGGUGCAGCGCCUCCACCUGCCUCCCGGCGAGAGCUGGCUCGACGAGUACAUGGACGAGACCUCCCGCCUGUGGGAAGCCUGCCAGCUCGCGCGCGCGGGCGCCGCGGGGCUCGACGCCUACUGCGCCGCCGCCGCACGCGUCGCCCCCGCACUCCGCGACUGGCUCUAUGGCGGCUCUGGCUCCGGCGGCUCACACUCCCAUGCCACCGCCGCCGUGCGACACCUCCAGCGCGCCAUCACAGCGCCCAGGCGCCACGCCGUCGCGCUCCACCAGGACAACCGUGCGCUCGCUGACGCCAGGCUUGACCCGGCCUCGCUUUUGCUUGACGACCGCUCCCCGCUCGAGUUCAAGCUCAAUGCCUUCAACGGCUUCCGUGGCGUCCUCUACGCGCUGCGCAACGCCACCUCUUUCCUCCUCGUCCUCCUCAUCUCCGGCACCGUCACCUGCCUCCCCGACCUCACCGCCGGCUGCUCUGCUGUCGCCCACCACCACCAGCAGCUCCGCGCCUCGGGGGGUGGCUACGUCGCCUCUGUCGCACGCCUGCGACAGCGCGUUGCACAGGAGAUGGAAGGAUGCAUCAUCGGCGGCGGCGGCGGCGGCGGUGGGAUCAUGAUGUACGAGUUCCGCCAGGCCAGGGCUGCCAUUGACGGCCUCAAGCAGGACUUCGACAGGGUCGUCGCCAUGGGCGGUGGCUACUGUGACGACAUCGGAGACAGCCUUGGUCAGAGAGCGGAGAUCAUCAAUGGCUGGGUUGGGAUGCUGCGAUCAGGCGCUGAGGCUGUCAUCGCUGAGCUCGAUGACUUCUUCGAUGAGAUCGUCGAGGGCAGGAAGAUGCUCUCCGACCUCUGCAGCCAUCGCUAGCUUAGCUCCUCCCGUCCCUAGCUCAUCAGCUGAAACAAAAUUAAACUUCACAAUCAAUCACAAGAUGAGUUGUUCAUCAGAGAAACGGUUUCAGCAGGCAGUUCCACUUCUUCUAUUCUAUGCCACCACCCUAGUAGAUACUCCAACAAGAGGCUAACAAAUCUAGGCAACCCAAGAAAAAGGUGCUUUUUGUUUGUCUGUUUAAUUUGUUUUCCUCUCCUCUCCUUCUCUGGUUAAGUGCAGUGCAGUGCUGUUUACUCUCUAGCUAGUAGGGUGUCCAUACUUAAGUCAUGCAUGUAGCAGCAGAAUCAUCAUCCUCUUUGUAUGCUUCCAAAUCAACGGCGGUAUGGCCACUUCCUAUUGUGUCUGCCUAUUGUCAGAAUCAGAACCAGAACAUAUCUCUAGCAUUCUUUUUAACAUAAUAUAUGCUUUGGAUUUAGACGGCCUUAUAUAAGAUAAUAAUAUAAGAGCUGAUGCCGAAAAGGAGAAUCCGCAAGUGCCACCAAUCAGACCUCGGAAAAAGGAAAACCAACUCUUUGCUCUUUUCUAUAACUGGAAAAGCACUGUGGUGGUGUGGCCAACUUGUUGGACAUAUAUAGGAGACAAAAAGGAACAAGAUGGACUUUUCUGUUCUUAUUCUUUUUUGCUUGUCCGUUUUGUUUUUGGUGGUAGGCUUAUGCUUUCGUUGUCAUUGAACCAUAUCGUCGCUUCCCACCAGCUCAAGAAUAUGGUGAAUGGUACAGAAAAGACCAGUUAUUUUUAAUAAAACAGAGAAGAUGAACAAACGACCUAAGGGAGGGAUGGUUGUCAUUUUAAUAGAACAGAGAAGAUGAACAAACGAUCUAAGGGAGGGACGGUACCUUUAUGACCGCUUUUGUAAGAUUCUUUUCUUGUGAUGCUUCUCUUUGAUAUCUGACCCCAGUCACCAUUUGGUCUUUAUAAUGACGAGGAACAGCCUUCUGGAAUUGGAACAGAAUGAUCACUUUGUGAACGUCUUUUGAGCCAGAAUCAUCCUCUGGACCUCAAUCAGAUGAAGAGAACCACUGCCAGCAAAGGUUGCAAUGCCAAAUUGAUUGAGCUGCCUUGCAGGGCCAAAAGCAAGCGAUAUCAUGGUAAGCAGCAGGGCAAUCCAUAUUCCAUACUUUGGGUUAGGGCUCUGCCUCUGGUGGGAAAAGCUGAGCUUCAUCAGCCCACCAAAUCCAAUCUCUUCCUCAAACAGACACAAUGAUCACCUCUUAAAGCAGCAAUCAGAAUUGCUUGACCAAAUUAUAAGCUGCUCAUCAUGAAUUCACAUUGAACUGAAAAUCCAAUACGGAUUGAUUAGAAAAGGUCAGGUUACAUUAAGUCAACCUAAUGAGCCAACAGAAGAAAAGUUCUUGCUACCAAUUAUCUGGUCAGGUGAAAAUUAUAAUACAAACUCUAACUAGAUCAUUAUCCUCAAUACUAAUGUGUCUUUUGGCUCAAAAAAGGGAAAGUAGCAUAUAAUUAAGUACCGGAGCGAUCAAUGAAGUCUGUACUCAGUUGUCAAAAUUUUACCUUAUCAAUGGUCCAGGCAUACCAAGCACUGUAUAGCAAUAAAUUAACACAUAGAACAACUGCAAACAGUAGGGACAUCAUCAUGAUGCAUAACCUCAUCUACAAGGAAGAUAUCUGAAAAAUAAAAAAAGUCAUAAAUGCAUAUAAGAAUGGUUUCGGGGCACAGAUGCGUAUUGCAAUUAUAUUCCAGAAAAGAAUUCAUACAGAAAAAAAAACUGAGUAACUUGAUCUCACCCAAUCUAAGUAACAAUUGAACUCUGUUUAUCAAAGAAAAUAGCCUGCAAUAUGUACCAGGAGAUCUGAGAAGUCUGUACACUGUGCAGAACCAAAAAGAAGUGAAAGGGGGCAUACCGAAACUGGACAGUAUCCAUCAAACACAAAAUCUGCAUUGUGCUGUGUGGAAUAAGAUCAGGCGGCAGGCAUUUAAACCGCGCCCACCGCUUUCAGACACCAGCAGGUCCACUGGGGAUACACAAACAACAUAAUACUCAAAUUGACCUAAUUUCUAUACAGGUAGGAAAUGUCUAUCUUGGACAGUAAGUCAUAAGUGAAGAAUUCAGUCACACAAGUGGUAUGUCCAAAAAAUGAUCAUAUGAAUUCUUAAUUUCACUAUAAUAAUUGUGAAAUUAACAAUGAACAUUUGUAUAGGUACACGUCCUGUGGACCUCACUUGCCCAACAAUUUGCCUAAAAACCGCAAACUUUUGGAUAGAUCAACAGUGAGGUCCUCAUAUGUACACCAUUUUACAAAGUGAAAAGUAGCCAAACAACAAUGGGAUAGGCUUCAACAAAACUGCCAGGAAGUCCUGCACAUGAUUAGGCACACCCUUCUGUUGGGUGCUGAAGCAGGUUAUUGCCAUUCUGGAGUUCCACUGACUUGUGAUUGCUCUGACCAAGGGAUUUGCAUGGCUUAGAUGAAUUAUCAGGACUCCAUGUGUCUGGAACAGACAGGAAGUACUUCGCCAUGAACUUCCUAAACCUUUUUUUGUAUUCCUUGGGGGAAAUUACAGUUGGUGAAACAUUCUUGGGUACUACCAGAGAAGUCUUCACCCAUGUCUCCAGUUGUUUGUCCCAAGUAUAUUGCCUCAGAUAGUCAAUGAUGCCAAACACAAGUUCAUGCUUCUCUUUGUCCACUCCCACAAGUAGAGAAUAGUCCAUGACAUUCGCAGACUGCAAGUACAAUCAUUAUGUUCAUAAAUGUUAUCAUUGAAAAACAUAACUGCCAGUAGUUGUGGAAAAGAUGUGCUUUAUACUUACAGUGAGGAAAGCUGUGUCAUUCCAGAUUGCACGCUGCAAAAGAUGUUUUGUUCUUCCACCAAUAUAGAUUGGGGAAAAACCCAUGUCCUCAACAUAAUUUUGGUCCAGGUAAACAGUAUCAUGAUCAUUUGAGUCAGUGACACGCCGCGAAAAAGUAGCACCUUUGAGGUCAUAAAUUCGUGAAAUAUUGUGGCCAAAGAGAAGAUUUUCCAUCACCAUCAAGUCAAUCUUUACCUCUUUGCCAUGCCUAAUUUGCUUAACCUGAAACAGCCAAGUGAGUCCACAUGAAAAAAAAGCAGGAAAAUGAAUCGAAAUUAAGCUUGACCUCUUGAUAUAACUACCUGAUAGAUUCCUAAUAUCUUGGCAAGGCAAGUUUGGCUUCCAGUGUCCAGAGAAUGGUAAACAUGCUUAAAGUAAUCAGGGGCAAAUUUAAUAAAUGACUCGAACUCUGUUUUCUUGAUUUGCUUUAUGAUGAACCUGUCAUCCAUCGUCUUUGCAAAAUAGGCCUUGCUCUUUCCACCUUGAGCAUUCCACUUCUUGCAACGGCUUAAGGAAGUAAUAUACUCAAGCUCGGAUGGGCAACACUUUUUCCGAAGCGCAAAGAAUUGAUUGUCAUAUACAACAGUUACUGAAUAUUUGCCUUUGAGAGUCACUUUCCCGUUCACAGUCAUUUCUGGAUGCAUCGGGGACAAUAAAGAUGAGCUAUCAUAACCAGAAAAGUCAUCAGAUGAAAAUGAAGACAGAGAUGACAAGCUUGCUUCAGAAUCUGUAGAUGACCAUGGGGAUGAGCUGAAAGAACUUUCAGACAGAAAACUAUAAGAUUUCUCCAUUGCUUUAACAUGCUCUCCCUUGGAAUAAUCCAUUCCAUUCUCAAAUUUUAAAUCUAUCAAAUGGUGGCGUUCAUCAGAUAUGGCAAGAGCACGAGCUAUUAUGCUGGAUAUCUCAUCUUCCAUUAUGCACAAAAUAUUACUACCUGGACCUACUGCAAACUGCGGAGAGUAUGCCUCAUCAUGUUGUUCAAACAAGGGAGGAAGAUAAUGUGGCAAAUAAUUGUUAAUGAGUUCAAAUUUUUCCAAAUAUCCAAUUUGAAUGUCAUUCCUGUAAGCCAAUUGAGACUCAGAAAUUGAAUUCCAAAUCCACCUUUCCCUUUCAUCCCAAUACGGAUAUUUAAACUGUUGGGGAGUGCUACAAGGCUCCUGUUUCAUGGGUAUUGGAUCUGCUACUGUAUCAUUGACCUGGACCUCCUUAUCAUUGGAUAUUUCGAAACAAGGAUCAUUUGCAGUUUCUAUUGUGCCAUCAACCUUUAUUUGACCAUGAGCAAUGGAAGAAUCUUCAGCUUUACUACCUCCAUUGCAAGGAAGUUCCGAGUGCCCAGCUUCUUGGCUUUCAUCAAGCAAGGGUGCUGCAGCAUCACCUGAUUGAUGAUCAAGAUUAUUACUUGCAGACUCCGUGGUACUGGCUACCCCCAAAGCUAUCGUAGUUUUAUCACUGAUUUUCUUAUCAGUACCAGAGUUCUCGCCGCAGAUCCCAUCAACAGUAUCAGCAGGAUUCUUGUAAUUAGCAACACUUUCUAAUUGGACAGAUUUACAGUAGAAUAAUUGAUGUAGACGGCGAUCCCAAAUGUAAAGCUCAAGUAGAAGGUCCUGAUAGUACCAAUUUAUAUUCAAUAGUUCAUGCACAGACGAAGACGGUGUCCCAUUUUGAUCAGUGGCCUUGCCCACAGAACUCUGCAGGACAACACAGAUAUAAAAAUUCAAUCAACAAUAAAAAACAGAACAAAUACCGAGGACAAUAGAAUGCAUGUACCCACCUCAAACUGGGCCUUUUCUUUUAUCAGCAACUCUUCUAGUUCAGUGAAGUCCUUAACAGGGAGUGCGAGGCCACAAUUGAUUGCUAAUUUUAUUGCAUCAGGAUGUUCAUUCUUCAAGUUUUGUAGAAAUCUUGCAACCCCAGAGAAAAGCACCAUACCUUUAGCAUGAACCUUGAAAGAUGGAGCAUAAGCGUCAGGCACCAUUGUACAAUAAUGAAAAUAAGUAAUGAACACAAAACAGUCAAGAGAUGAACCAUACAUUUCUCCUUUGUCCUUCAAACCAAUCCUGUCUGAUGGGGUUGACGAACUGGAGAGUAGGUUGUGGUUUGCAGGUGGUGUAAAUUUCAACCGAAGAGUACCGGAACAUAGCAACUUUAGAGCCCAAGCUGAAAUUAGUAACAAAGAGGAAAUAUUCAUCACCAAACUGCAAAAAAGGUAGUUUCCAUGGAAUUGUUAUAUGAAACUAUGAAAGCCUAAUGCAGAAGGAAGUUUACCCAAAAAAGCGCAAGCAAUCCCUGUUGACCAAAUGUCCACAUAUGGAUAACCUUCUUGCUGCAGAGUGGCUAGAAAAACUGAGUUCCAGGAAUUUCCCAAAUGAGAGGUUGCGUGCUUCAGCUGAUAUUAGUACUCUUGGAGUUGGUUUGGAUAACCCAUGUUCGUGAUCACAUCUUGAGCACCUAGUCCACAUCCAUAUUUUUCCUUCAGAUUCACCAGGCAAAUGGUGUUGGGGCACCAGACGUUUCACUAAAACGGUCAAAUUUCCAUUUCGGUGCGUGUAGGAGUACAUGUGGGACUCUGGAGGCUCUCCACAUGAGGAGCAACUCAGUUUCUGCAAGGGAAACAUUAAAAGCUGAGCCUUCAGCAACCGAGUCAAAUUGUAUUAUACAAACACAAAACACGGAUAUUUCACAUGACAACAAAACACUAAAAGGUUAUGAAAUAGUGUCACCUGAUUCUGCAGAAUGUCUUGCAAAUAUCGCCCCAAGGACACAUCAAAACUCCCAUAGUAUUUUAUACGGGUUAAAUGGCUUUGUUCACAGAUAACCUGCUUUUCCGUGCACUGGCUAGACAUCAAAAUCAGUAUGCUGUGAGAAUCAAGUGCAUCAUCAGCUUGAUCGUCGUCGACAUAUUUCUCUUUGAUAACGAUACUUGUUGUAUGUGCCUCAUUGUCUUCCAUAACAGGUGAUUCUCCACUUUUAUCACUUACAGAAGAACUUCCCGGCAUUAUUGCUCUAGUAAUUUCUUGUUUCUGGGCAUCAUUUAUGGACUCCCCAUUUUCAAUGGAAACCACAGGCUCUUCUAUCUUUGGCCUAUGGAAACCAUUACUAACAGUCUCUUGACCGGAUUCAGCCCUGACUUCCUUCCUAUUAUCAUUUGCCUCUUGCAAUGAUGUAACAGGUAAGUAAAUAUUCUGGUGACUUAACAUGUCAGCAAACAAUUUCCUUAGUGGCCCUUGGACUGGUAAUGUUAACCUCUCAGUAUUAUUGAGCCUGAUACUUGCACCUUGUUCAAGGUCAUUUGCAGAGCUGCUGGAUACUGAACUGAAUGAAUCCAUAUUUCUUGGAGAUGUAGGUUUGUUCACAUCAGCAUAGCUAUUAGAAGUGGCAUGGAACAGUCUAAGUGCUGGAGAGUCAUCAUGUGAAGGAAAGCUAGGGAUAGCACCACUAAGAGCAGCAACAUCAUAAGCAGUUGGUGAUGUCCCUUCUGUAGCAGUAACAGAAGUUUCUUUCGGGGUACUUUUAUCAUUUAGAAAAACCCUUUGAUCUUCAAAGAAAGAUGUUUCAAGGAUCAAGUGAUAUGCUGCAAAGACCGUAAAAUGCAUUACUUGUUUGACUUUCUUCAAUUCUUCACUGUUUGCUCCUUUUAGCAGUAUCUGAAAAAGAAAAAAACCACUCUAACUGUAAAUAUUAAUCCAAAAGGUAUGGAAUACCAAUCAGUUUUGGGACUUGCUACUUAUUCAAUGAAAUGGUAUUAGUGCGCAUGAAAUAGACUAUAUCCAGCAUACAAUGAGCAUGAACUAUACAUACCGUGCAACCAAGUGGACGUGGAAAGCCUUCCAAGAACAUUAAUGUUUUAGAUGGCCUCUUUCCACCCUCACUGGCGUUGUUGUGCUCCUCGAUAAAUUUUUCGAUAUGAAAGUAGUCACAUUGCUUCAGCUUCGGUUUAUCCAAAACUUCGGAAAACGAUAUUAUGGGAGAGCCUGUACAGCGUGCAAUUCUCUCUAGCCGGUUGAGUUUCAUAUCAAGAAUUAGAGUGACACCUUCUUUCAGAAGAAGUUCUUGAAUGUUUCGUGAAACAGUUUUCUCGACCAGAACAACAUUGGGACUGCAUAUCUCCAUCAUUUUACCAAUAGCUCUCUCCAACAGGUCCUUUUCCUGAUUGUUAGAGGCAUACAAAAUAGACGGUAUUAAUACUUCUGUGGAAAAAAAAAAGAAGUCGAGGUUUAUUAUUUGCGUACAUAUAUAAAUAUGUAGCAUCUAACCUGAUCCAUUGAACUAAAUGAUGACAAACCGACAUCAGAAUGCCCAAGGACUCCUUUGAGAAGUAGAAGCCUAGGAUUGUGGCAAUUUGUUGGCAUGUGCUUAUGAGCAGUGUUCUUCUUGAAGACUAACCCCUUGAUCACCUCACUGCAACCAAACCAACAUUACCACAUAUUAACGGAUGUAGUUUAAAGCAGAAAUAGAAAUACUAUCUAUUAAGGAGAAACAGUUGAAGGUAAAUUAUUGCUGCACCUUUGCCGGCGAGUACCAGAUGCUACACAUUUGACUUUGAUGUAAGAGCCAGGGUCCAUUUCCUUUCCCAUGCUACCAUCUGGUUUGAUAAGUAGUGCGGCUUCCCAUGACAGGGAGGUGACAAUUUCAAGCCAGCUAUCGCUACCCUCUUCGUUCGAAGAAGGAAUGCCAGCAGAUGCGAGAAACCGACUGACAAGUAUCUUCAGCUGGCCAUUCAUAGCUUCUAGCAUCGCCUUUUCUCGUUCCUCCCUAUGAUUGCUAGUGCCGGUGUCAUGCUGCUUACCAGGGGAUGGGAAACUUGACUGGCCCCACUUUAUCCCGUCACUAUAAUCGUCGUCGUCGUCAUCAUAAGCGAUGCUUGUAGCAAAACUCUGGGCCUCAUCCUCCUUAUCUGCCGCUUGAGGUGGUAUCCAGAUGGUAUCAUUUUCUAGAAAUGAGAUCUCUGUAUUACUGCUUCUGCCAUUGGUACUCUCAGCCCCAUCAGAAUCGUCACCGGACUUGAUAGAACGGUCAUCAACAGAAGACGUGGAUGCAUGGCGGCUAAUGCGACCAUGUCUGUGGCCUGAAGCGCUGGAGGGAGCAUUGUCGUCUGUGGAGAGAUGAUUUAUAUGCUUAUUAUCGGCAUCCGCAGCCUGACUCUGCUCCGCACCAUGGGGACUGUGAUGGUCUUUUUUGAAACAAUGACUGCGAUGGUAACCAUUAGCCUCUGGUGCAUCCUCCCUGUUCGUGUCAGGCAAAAGGAAAAGGAUGAGGAUGGGGGCUCCAUACAUGUCUAUGCGCUUCACACUGGAUUGUCAAUCAGAAACUAAAGCUGUACAGGUUUAGCUAGCUGUUGGCAGGCAAAGAAACAAAUGAACCCUAUUCAGUGUUAUCAACACAUAUAGUGUCCGUCGGCGAAUAAUUGACUUAGAUUCAAGCUAUGCAACACGGGUUUAGUUUCCAGGAAAAGGGGCUUUUGCUUAAGAGAAACAGAUGACGUAUAUAUAUAAUAACAUAACAUGUUGAUGGUAUAUAUAGAAACAAAAAAAAAAAGGCUAAGGUAGGGGAGAGUAUGUAUUCUGCAAGAGGUCCAGUAAUAUGAAUGAAUGAUACACCUGAACCUGAUUGAGGAGGGGAGGAAAGUUAAACAUGGAAGCAAGCUACAUAUACAAUUAAAGUAAAUUUGUUAACCUGAUGAACUGGUUGCAACCUGAGCCAAUCCAGAGGAGGAGGAGGCUGAGGAUUGAUUAAGCUUAACAUAAGAGAAGAGAAGAGAAUCGAAAUACUACCUGGUUGUGUGGUGGUCGUGCUGAUCCGACAUGUCGGAGCACAUUGCCUGCGGCAAAGGCAGGCGGCAGCUUGUCACAUGCCCUUACGGUUGGUCUGGAAUUGGUGGGUUAUGUAUGGUGUCAAUCAAUUGAUCAAUCAAAAAGGGGAAAAAAAAACGAAGUUAGUAGUAGUAGUAGGCAUAGAAUUCACUUGUAAAUUACUACAAGUACUAGAUCAGAUCCGAGUACAUAGAGGAAAGGAAGGGAAGAGAAGGGGUGCGCAGGCAAGGCAUACCUGGUGGGGUGCUCGUCGCCGGCGAAGGACCUCCUAGCUAGACCUGGGCACCUCCUGGCGUAGCGAGGGCGGCGGUGGGCCGGUUGCGCUUGCUCACACGGGGUGCAGGGUAGUUGAAAUCCAAUCGGAACCGAGUGGAUUGGAUGAGGAGCGAGGAGGGGGCGGCCGCGCGCGCACCGCCGAGCGAGCGAUGCUGGAAUCGGAAUCCCAAUGAUACGGGGAUGCCUGCAAGCAACUGGGGUGAUGGAUCUCUCUGCUCCUCCGUCCCGUACACCGAGAUGCCAAGUCGGUGGUGGAGGGACGCGGCAACGUCUACUAGUGGUCGGUCGUCGGUGUCGGGCGGGGCGCUAGAGUCCCGUUGCUCGACGGCGCUGGAAUCCUCAAUCUCCCCGGUAGCUUGCGCGGGGGCUCUGGCCGCGGCGAUUGGACAAGCUAGCAGAAGCACGCACGCACACCAGAAGAGGAGAGGAGAGGAGAGGAGAGGAGAGGGGGGAGUCCAAGGCAACAAAGCCAAGCCAAGUCGUCUAGUAGUCUCGAAACGAGAAGAAGAAAGAGGAAGGAGGAGGCCAAGGCGAGCAAGGAAGACGACGGCAGGUGAGGAACGCUCUCAGGCCUCUUGGUCGCCGCUGGAGACCCCACCUGCCUCCGGUGCCGUGGGGCCCGCGCACAACUAUCUUCUCUUUUCCUUUUUUGCAAUUAAUUAACACGAUACUGUACGUGCAACUUAUAGGAGUAAUAACUAUAACUAUUGUAUUAUUAAUUACUCCCUUAUAUCGUCUUCUUUUUAUAUAAUACGAUAAUUAGUACUGUAUAUGUAGUAAAUUGCUGACAGACAAAAUAAGGCAUCCAAAAAUCUUUUAGAUUUAGCUACGAUAGAACUUUCGUUUAUAUUUGUUAAUUAUUAUCUAGCUACAGACUAACUAAGUUUAAAAGAUUCGUAUUACAAAUUAUAGAUAAAUUAUAUAAUUAAUUAUUUUUUUAUCUAUAUUUAAUAUUUUAUAUGUGUCAUAAGAUUUAAUAUAACAAAAAAGUUUAAGUUUAUUAAAAAUUUUAGAUGAAACUAAACAAGAGUCAAAAUAAAAAUAAUUAAAAUUAGUAAGCGACGGGCGCCGACACGGCGACACGGUCAGGUCAUCAAGGGGCAGGGCUCGAGAUGGCGUCUGUGUCCGGAGACCACCAUAGGCUGCGGGCUGCCCCCUUUGCUUGUGUGCGUGCUUUUUAUUAUAGGCGUAUUUUUCUUUUAUAAUAAAUUAGUAAAUAAUUUUUUUAGUCAUAGUUUUUUAGAUUAAUUAAGGUUUAUUUAGUUCCUAAAAACUUUUAAGAUUCAACAUCACAUUAAAUCUUAGACAUAUACAUGACAUAUUAAAUAUAGAUAAAAAGUAACUAAUUAAACAGUUUAUUUAUAGUUUACGAGAUGAGUUUUUUAAGUCUAGUUAGUCCAUGGUUGAAUAAUAAUUAUCAAUACAAAUAAAAGUAUUACACUAGCUAAAUCUAAAAAUUUGCGUUUGAUUGCGUCUGUUAAAUUUUACUGUCCGUCACAUUAAAUAUUUGGACACAUGCAUAGAGUACUAAAUAUAGAUUAUUUACGAAACUAAAAACACAACUAGAGAGUAAUUUGUGAGACGAAUCUUUUGAACCUAAUUGAUACUAAUUAUUUAAUAAAAUUAAAAUGCUACAAUACCUGUUAACAAAAUAAUCUAAAUCUCAAAAACCUUUUUUCAUAGCUUUCUUACCAACUCAAUUGAAUAACACAUGUGACAAAAUUCUGGGCGCUCUCAUUUUAAAUUUACUCGUGACGAACCUUUAGUCUCAGGUGCUUUCGUCCAGCUUGGUGAUACCAACUAGGACUAAAAGGUCACCCUUUACUCUGGGUUGGUGUUACCAACCAGGACUAAAAGGUCAAAGCUAAUAUAUACCCUUUAGUCCAAGUUGGUAGGACAUUAGUCCCAGGCCCAAUUCUAACCGAGACUAAUAUGUUGAACCGGAAGUCAUUUCUGUGCUAGUGCGCCUUAACUCCACGAGAGGGUUGGUGGCAUUUCCUUUGUCACCGAACUGGUUUUGUAAUUGAGAAGCGAUUCUAUGUUUUUGCAAGGUGAUCCGAGGGUUGGAAGCUAAAAACAAUAGCCCAAUUCACUUUACACAUUGUGUCAUCGUCUAUCUUAGAGAACUAACUGGUUAGACAAGUACUUUUACCGGAGAAUCUGAAGCAUGAGUAGCUCUACGUACCAAACAAGCAUCUAGUCUUACAGGGUUAUGCUCAAGCUCUGAUAAUCUACAGAGAGGCCGCACACAACACUUUAGGCCCCAUUCGUUUUUACAGGAAUUCCCAAUUGUAGAUUUCGUUCACAAAUUUGUAUUGACCCAGAACUAUUCCGCUCUAUUCUCGGCCUGUUCCGACGUAAACAAACAUGGCCUUAGGAAGAAGUGUCGUUUCUAAUGAAUACUGAAGGAGCCAAAACAAUUUGUAAAACCAGGAGGAGAAGCUUGCUACAUUUGAGGAGGUGUCAUGCCAAAUAAAACCCUUAUUCUUGUUGCCUAUGCUGCUCUCUAGACGGAUGGAUACCACCAUGGUCGUCGUCGUCUCUUCCAAUUUUUCAAAUAUAAAUUUAAUGCUGUCAGAGGAAACUACUCAAUGACCCAUUCAUCUUUCCCCCUUUUCAAAUAUAAAUCUAGUGUCGUCAAAGAAAUCUAUUCAAUUCAACGACCUAUGCUGUCAAUAAAAAAUGUUGUCUUACGUGUCGUUGUUGCUUUAUUCAGUUUUCCUACCUAUUACUAUGUCCUUGUAUUCUUUCUUUACAGUAAUACUGCUAUCAAAUAAAAGAAGAUCUAUGCCUACUGUACUUCGACUCCUAUUGUCUUGUCACGUCCUCCUUCGUCUCUCAUCGUACACACAUUCAAUAAACCAUAUUACGUAUAUAUUCAUACUUGUUUAUCGGUUUGAGUUUGUUCAUAUACUUAUACUAAGAUACUCUAGAUCUUACCGUGCGAAAAAUUUUCAAAGGAAUUUAUAUUUUUUUAAUAUAUUACUAAAAUGUCACUACUGUAGUAUAUAUAAUAAGUAUAAUCACAUACUCUAUAUAUGCAUGCAUACUUAACAUACAUACUACCUUAGAUGGUUUAGUAUGAUUAUAUACUUCGUCUACAUACACUUCAUCGGGCCAUAUACGCUCUAAAUCUAAAGAUAUACAUAUGGAAGUAACUACUACUGUGAGUAAAAAGGAAUUAUUCCUAUACACACAAAUAAAAAAAGUUGUAACUCUCAUUAGUUAGUUGCUUUGCGCCACCGACUAGCUAAUUAAUCCAUGGCGUUAAGUUUACAACGUCUCUCAAGAGACCACCAGCUCAGCAACAAAAUCAUAGAUGUGAUGAUGUGAUGUGUGCAUCUUCCAUUCCAUUCUCUAGCUUAUUGGAACCAAGCAAUCAACCAAUGCAACAAAUAACACACCACCGUACCACCAAGCAAACGGAACACAAUCAUGGAUCCCCCGGCACACAUCAAACCUUGUUUACUUCCAAUUUUUUUUUAAAAUAGUAAUAGUAGCACUUUCGUUUGUAUUUGAUAAAUAUUAUCCAAUUAUGAACUAACUAGGCUCAAAAGAUUCGUCUUGUCAAUUCCGACCAAACUGUGCAAUUACUUUUUAUUUUUAUCUAUAUUUAAUACUCCAUGCAUACGUCUAAAGAUUCGAUGUGACGGAGAAUCUGAAAAAUUUUGCAAAAUUUUUAGGGAACUAAACAAGGCCCAAAGAGAGGGAAAAAUACUAACACGUAGGUUGUACUCUUCAUUAAGCAAAGCAUGCAUAUUACCAAAUAUGACCAAUCUAACUUUAUCCACUUAAUUAUAAUAAGUCACACCCUGCUAACCCCCUACUAAUCAAAUCAUUCGUCCUAGCUAGCUAGAUACGGCAGGCAGCUAGCUAAGCCAUGCCCAUGCUGUGUGCUAUACUGCUAUAUAUCCUGAUGUUAUUUGCCUAUCAAUUGUCUACCCGUAUCAUCAAUCAUGCUUGUCUUGUUCUCCGUCAUCAUCCACCUGACUUCACCACACACAAUUAUCUGUGUAAUUAAAACCUAUGGAGGAAAUGGUGAGAAGUGUAUAUGAUAACCUUAUCCACCCCUACUGGUUUCUGGAUGUAUAAGCUGAAAGGAUCUAUCACCGCUGACAAUUCAGCAAACAUGAAUGAUUUGAUGUGCUAGUUCAUUAGUUGCUAGAACCAUGGAAGAGGUGCUAAUAGUUCAUAUACACGUUCAAUUAACUAUCCAACCACCUAUUAGUAGCAAAGUAUGUAACGGCAUGGUGGCCCAAGAGAAAAUGAAUUAGGCUCGUUUAAGCAACAAUCUUAGAUUUUAAACUGGAUAUGAAAUAGGGAUUUCCCAAUCCCAUCAGUUAUAUAACGUGUACUUUUUGGUUUAGACAAAGCCUUCAAGAGCAUAUUUAUUUUUUCCUAAAUUUAUUUUAGAAUAGUACAGUCUUCCUUUGCAGUGUACUAAAAUUUUACUCAAAAUAAACAUCGUUUGAGAAAAUGUUAAUCCAGCCAAUGCAUCUUUUAUAUGUUAGCCUCGCAGAUAAUAAGCAAACUAGUUAUUAUAUAUGAAAACAUGUUUAAAGUGCGACUUAUGAAAUUAAAAUAGACUGAUAAAGUGUAAACAAAAUUGCCACUUUCUCAUGUAUAUAUAUAGAGACAGAGAAACUCAAGAGAGGCGGCACACUAGAAUCCAAAAUUUGUCUAUGUAACCUACAUUCUUUUGGCGGUAACAAAAAAAACUUACAAAAACAACAAUUAACGUGUCGGUUUUCGGCCAAGAAGAAAAGCUAUGCAAGCACCAAGUGAUCGUCGAUGUGUUGCUUAUAAGCAAAGAUCAAAUGAUUCAAUCAUCGGCCAAUACCUCAAGUGCGGAUGGAGGCAAUUAAUUAGCCUAAACACUCACAUUGGAGAUUAGUUAGGUAUCAUUAGUUAUCAUCCAACCAAUUUGAUGAGCAAGAAUAUUCCUUGGAACAAUAUUUAGUAUGGUGCACGGUGGCAUACUAUAUAUGUAUGUUUUCUCAGCUUUAGAGAAAUGCAAAUGACAAAAAAAAACCAUGAUAUUUUUUCCUCUUUCUUUUUAUGGAAAAUUAAUGUAACCCUAUAGAUAGCUAGUUGAAGAAAAAGAAAUAUAAUCAAAGCUAGUUAAGAAUAGCUAGAAAACUUAAUUAGUACCCGAAGCAUGAGUGUACAGUAUGACAAAAAAAAUUUUGCCCCCUUCGUCUGAAAGAAAAAGUAAUUCUCGACUUUCUAUGAAUCAGUCAAUCACAGUUCUGAUAAAGUACAAAGAUUCGAUACUAUGCAUAACAAAUUAUUAGAUUAAUAAUCAUAAAAUAUACAUAACAAAUUAUUUAGAGGUACACACAUGUUGAUACUAUUUUUAUUUUAUAACUCUAAAAAAGAUUUGGCUUAAAAUUAAUACUUUGGAAACUAAGGGAAUUAGUGAAGACAGAGAGAAAAAAAAAAGUGUAUUAAACAGGGGCGGCGGAAACAGGAAUAUAUGGCAUGCAGCAGAUGAGCAUGGUUUGACGGAGACGAUUUCAAUUGUGUCGGCUGUGUGUGGUGCUUCUUCAUUUGUUGCGUUGGACUGGAGCAAUCUUCACGUCUCCUACAAAAGAUUCUUCUUCGUUGCCCAGAAACUUCUUCUUCUUCCCUGUUUGCUGCUCCCAGUCUUGUUUAUUUUUUUUAUUCUAAUCCUUUUUUAAUAGAUAAUGGGUUGCUAAUGUCUCAAGCAAGAACCAUCGAUGACCUCUCUGUAUAUAUAUGUUUUUUAAAUUUGCCGGUCAACUGCCUACGCGUAGUGUGUGUAUAGUAUAAAAUAUGGGAAUGUCCGAAGAUUUGAUGCACGCAUGUAGAGGGAGCGCUCUGUAUGCAAUACUUCACCUAUAUAAAAUACGUUUAAAAAUUCGAAGUAAAGAAUAACUUAAAUAUCACUCAUUUAUUUUUAAGUUGCACUUGAUAUGCACCGUUUGUUUUGGAUUCCAGUGAGAAUCGAAACCGAUCCGACCAUGCAAAUGUCGAUCCAAAUGGUACUCUCAGCUCGUACUCUUUUCUAGAUUGCUGUUCGUACUCGUAAUAAAUCAGCGUACCAAUUCGAGUCUAUUUGAAAAGUCAUGACUGAAAAUAUUGUUUGCUAAUUUAUCUAUGAAAAAAAACACUGUUAGCUAGAAAAAAAAGUACGGCUUAUAAGACAAGCGAACGGAAAAGAGUGAUGCAAACUGUCCGAUGCAAUUUUCCCUAUGAUUUGUUUAAUUAUUUGGUUGCUGACAUCAAUAAGCGCAGUACCCAUUUUAAUUUCCCCACACAUAUAUAACGACAUAUAUGAUUCCCUCCUUUGUAUAUAUUUUCUCAUAGUUUCAUUUUGUACGUGUCUAAAAACAUAUACUAUGAAUCCACGAUGGGUGAUAUAGAUAUUAAUUAAUAAAUAUCAGGAUAUAACACACGGUGCAAAACUAGUUUCAACUUCUAGUACAACCUAGUAGCUACGUCGUUUGAGCCGGCGAUGUUUGUUCUAGUGUUGCCUAGCGUCUCUAUGGUAUCUCAACAUUUGAGCACAAGGACUGUAUAAACUUUUUAACUUCUCUUAAUGAAGAACGAGCAAUGCACGAUUUCGAAAAAAAAAACAUGACACGGUAGAAAAGCAGCAGGUCCGGAUGGAGAAAGAGAAGAAGUACACUAAUACAAGUAAAGUUAGUCAUAAAUAAAUGAAAUGAAAUAAGCAAAAGCUACUCCUCGAUUUAUAGAAAUAUCAUUCUUAUUUUUUCUUAGGAGUUAAUUUUUCUCACCUCUAAUAAAAUAUAUAUUAAAAAUACUAAUAUGUAUAAUAAUGCUCAGAUAAGAUGAAUAUUAAUUAAAGGUGUUUUUAUAAUAGAUUUAGAUGGAGAUGCAAAUGUUGAUGCAAAUUUCUAUAAGAACUAGUUAAAUUUAAGAAAGUUCAACUCAUCAGUUAAUAAAACCACAGGUUCGUUAAUUAUGUAGUGGUGUAUACGUGGUAGACAGAUGGCGGCAAUAUGAACAUAUGAAAACGAAGUGUCCUGACUAGCAAGGCAAAGCAUGUAUAGUACAUAGUGAUUGAUCAGAUGAGAUGCGAUGAGAUGGCACGUUGUACAACCAUGCAGCAUGCAUGCAUCUCCGUCGAUGGAUCGCAGCUUGCUUGAGUUGGACUAGGCAUCCAUGCAUGAUCCUGAAAACGGACAAGCUCAUACUAGAUCCAAGACACACGUCAAUUAUUGGAGUGAUGAAAAAACAGUGCAUGCGUGCAUGUUCUGAAGUCUGAGCAAGGGGGAUAGAUUAAUAAUUAAUUUAUAAUUCACAAUCAUACAUCGUUUUGAUGACUUGGCAAGGAAUUGAUGAAAAGAGAGAACAAGAGCUGCAGGUAUAGAAGAAGCCUUAUAUGCUUACAGCGUGUUUGGUUUUGAGUCGUGUGUUUGUUCAAAAUAAAGCUAUCACUACUAAAAAAAACUUUUGCGAGAUGUUUUGAAAUGAGUCUUAGAGGAUUGCAAUUCUAACCGUCUCGAUUAAUACCACAUAUUAAUCGAGGCGGUUUUUAUUAACUGGGACAGUCAUAAAAAAUCACCUCACAAAAUCGAUUUACGGAGGUGGCUACAAAAUAACCGCCUCCUAAAAUCUAUUAACCGAGACGAGCAUUAUAGGUGGCUCGCCUCGAAAAAUUAGAGUAUUUUUUGAGGCGGGCCACUUAUAAGGCCUACCUCGGUUAAUAUUCCUUAGACCUAGAAAAAAGCCCAAGUCCACCUUAUAUUGGGUUUAUUAUAGAGCGAGUUAAGGUUUCACAUCUCCCUCACUCAAUCAUUCCUCACUCAGUCCAACAUCCCGACGCCCUCUCCCUCACUCAGCACGACCUCGACGCCACCUCCCCUCCCGCUAAACUGCCCCCUCUCGUCCUUCCCCAUCCCAUCGGUGCGCCCCUCCUUCUGUCGGUGCCCCCUCCCAUCCUCUCUUGUCGGCGUCCCUCCCCUCACCCCUCUUUCUCCUCUCUUGCGAUGGAUGGGACGCACGGGGCCUGCCCACCUCGUCCAGUGGCUUGGCCUCCAGGCGGGUGCGCAGGGUUGCCGUCUCCUCCAAUGGGCGUGGCCUCUCGGUGGGGAUCCGACGGUGGGGCCCCUCCCCACGUGGAUCCGGAGGCGAGAAGGCUGGAUCCGGGCGCUGGCAACGCGUGCGAGGCAGGCAGCGGUGCUCCUUCCUCCACCUCAGGCAACACAUGCGAGAUGGGCUCUCCCCCGAGCGCUACGGCUGAGCACCCUUCCCCUGCCCUAACACCGAGCGCGGCGACCUCUUCAUGGUAGAUCCGGUGCUGCGGCGCCCCAGCCCUACGCCUCCACCCUAGGAGCACCGCUCCCUCUCGGAUCUGUGUCCACGACAGUGGAUCCGCCAUGGAUCAGGCUCGUCUAGGUGGAUCUAGCUCCACGUGUGCGGCGGCGGCGGUGGCCGCGCCCUGCGGUGGCACGGGUAGCGGUGGAUGGGCUCGACUCUAGGCCCUAGAUGGGCUCAUGGCAGGCUCAUCUUUUUUUGUUUUAUUAAUGGUGGCGGGCACGGGGCAUUUGUCUGCCUCAGUAAAUGGAUGAUUUAUAGUGACCUUAGCUGCGAGGCGGAUGGAGAAACCGCCUCUAAAAACCAGUUUUGCCUAUCUCCGAAAAAAUUAUUGUAGUAUCCCUCGUUUAGUUUGCAAUACAGAACAAAUGAUUCAUCUGUCAUCGUCAUCGCUAAGCUGCCAACAAACUUAUCUUUUUUUUUCAUGAUCAGACCAUUUAUCCAUUUUUCAUUAAGAGAAAAAUAGUUAUCAGUGCAACAAACUUAUCCGAUGACGCUGUGUCAUGUGGUGCAAAAUUGGCGGACAACAUCUUUCAUCAUGGGUUUAAAUUCAAUGCAGACAACCGAACAUGUUGAAUGUUUCCAAUACAAUUCGCUUAUUACAUGUAUUAUUAUUGCAUUAUAUAUAUGCAAAAUAGUAGCAACAACAAGAACAAAAUAAUAACAAAAUAGUGUAUUGCAAGAGCUAGCUAUUUUGUUUCGUUUAUUAUUUCAAUACCUUGUACGUGUCAUUGUUGGAAACAACUUGCCACUAAGGAUGGCCUAGCUAAACCAAAUCAAAAAGAAAAAUAAAAGUAGUCGCGAAAUGCUGGCUUAAUUAUUCGCAGCCAAUAAAUAAUAAAACAGUCUGUACGCGUAGCUAGCUAGCGGCACAAAAUAUCUAUACAUAAUUAUCAUCUAUUUUACGUAUCUGAGAAAAGGUCAAUCAAAAAAAAACAAAGAAGAUGCUUCGCAAUCGCAUGAUAGGUAGCUAGAUCUAGAUAGCGUGUCGGUCAUUUUCUUGCUUCUUUUCUUCUCCGCGUGAAGGAAUUGAAGGAGACGAUGGCAAUGGGGCAUAGAUAGUAUAUUCCUCUCACCUGGACCAGGCCGCGCAAGUCGCAGUCAACUUCAUACGGCUGUGCUGGGCUGGUCUGGGCUGGGUAUGCACGCAUUGCAAGUAUAUUAGUACUACCAAAUAAAGCCCAUCAACAACAGAAGAAAAAAAGGAAAACAGGCCAGGGUCCUUUCUCGGCCCGACAUACAAAAGGCGAAGGAAUAGCCUCGAGGAUGCUCUCUAGUCUCUAGUCUCUGGCGCACUUCUCGGUUGUCGCUGAUUCUAUUCGUUGGUGCCCUCACCUAGCAUGCCCUGUGGGCCCCGGCCGACUAAUAUUUUAGUUUUAUUUUAUCUAUGUACAUAACGUUUACUAUGCACUUAGAUAUAUCCCAUGUCUAAGUAAAAAAGGAGUAUUUCCUAAUUCGAUAAAUAAUUAUAGAAUCUACAACACAAUUCGGUAAAUAGGCACUAAGAUAAUAUGAUAAGCAUUCAACUGGAAGAUUAAGUUGAAAACUUCCAUAAAUCAUAAUAUAAAUAGUUAGUUGGAACUAUAAGCAUUAACAAGACUUAUCAUACUAUAUUUGUCUAACUUUUCUAGCAGAAAUUGAAUAAAGCAGUAUAAAAGUACGUAGAGUUUUUCAAUGAGAGUUGAUGGUUGCAUAUUAGUGUCUCACCACAGCGGUUCGACCAUUAUUGACCGAUUGGCGAUAAGGCUAUUGCAUAUUAGUGUCUCACCACAACGGCUCGAUCAUUGCAUAUUAACAUACUGCUAAUUCGUUGCAUGGGUUUUGUAUGAUCCUUUUCAAGUCAUCGGCGGCACUUGGUUAUAUCUAAUUUGCACUCAUCAUCAAGCUUUGUUUAGCGUCAUUGCUUUGAAUUCUCACUAUCGAGGACGCAGUGUCCUAGAAGAGGCAAUAACUUCACAUACCACUAUCUAUAUUUGAUUAAUGCUUGAGGAUGGAAGGUAAUACAGACCCGACAACAAUGUCGACCAUACAUAAUGUGUUCCAACCAGCUUAGGGACUUAGGGCCAUGCUCAGGUAAUAGACCCACACACUAGGGUGUCAACUGUUGUGUGAUGGUGACUGAGUCCCUAAUUCUUAAUGGGAGCUUCAGCAAAGGUGAAGAUAACUUAUGCACAGACUGUCUCAACCGAGUAGGAGAGAUAAAGCUCGCCAAACUUGUUGAUGACGAAGUCUAAGAUUCCAAAAUGGAACUCCUAGUCCACGGUGAAUGUCCUAGUAAUGAAGAGAUUGCCUGCGGAGUGAACAAUAAAGUCUAGACUUCUUGCAUGAGAUGAUCGAGUAGAUGGUCCCUAUCUUGACGGGAGCAAUCUAGCCAUUGUAGAUGGAUCUGUGCAUGUGUUCCUCUAACUAUAGUGCUAGUUUUUGGUUUAUUUGUCACCAGCAAUACAACUAUAAGGUUGAUUCACACAAAAUUAAUAACUAUUAGGGUUAUAUCUGCGAGAUUAAACUAGACAGUACCACAUGACAGGGAUUCUCUAUACAAGUUUAAGCCCUUGGAGGAGGUAAUACCCUACAUCUCAUCUAAAUCAUGUGUUUAAUGAAUCACUGAGCACCUUUGCACGUGGACCGGUGCAACAGUACGUCCGUAGCAAAAAAACUAGAGGCAAGGAAGAAGGGAGCAACGAGAGUCACUGUGAAAACGAUGAGAGAUGGUUGGUGGGUGAUAGCGUCUCUAUGCCGGUGUCAGUCACACCAAAAAUAUAUAUAGCAUUCAUGAAUUUGUUAUUACACAUAUCUGGGGAAUGAAUAACUACCACCUCUCAUUAAAUUGAUGUACUUGCGAAGCUUUGAGAUUUUACAUUCCUAGCUAGCUAAGCUAAGCUAGCUAGUGGCCACCAAGGAUCCCGGCCUGUGACCUUAAAACCUCAAUCUAGCCAGUUGCAUCCAAUGUGUGGUGUGGCAACAUAACACACACAGACAAACUUGUUGAUGAUGAAGCCUAAGAUUCCAAAAUGGAACUCCUAGUCCACGGUGAAUGUCCUAGUCACGAAGAGAUUGCCCGCGGAGUCAAUAAUAAAGUCUAGACUUCUAGCAUGAGAUGAAGUAUAUUAUCCCUAUCUUGACGGGAGCAAAUCUAGCCUUUGUAUAUGGUUCUGUGCAUGUGUUCCUCUAUCUAUAGUGCUAGUUUUUGGUUUUUUGAUACCAACAAUACAACUAUAAGGUUGAUUCACAAAAAUAAUAACUAUUAGGGUUAUUUCCGCGAGAUUAAACUAGACAAUACCACAUGACAGGGAUUUUAUACAAGUUUAGGCAUUGUUUAGUUGAAGAGGUGAAAAGUUUUUGGGUACUGUAGCACUUUCUUUUUUAUUUAGUAAUUAUUGUCCAACCAUGGACUAAGUGGGCUCAAAAGAUUCAUCUCACAAAUUAAAGACAAACUGUAUAAUUAGUUAUUUUUUAUCUAUAUUUAAUGUUCCAUGCAUAUGACGCAAGAUUCGAUAUGAUGGAGAAUCUUGAAAAGUUUUGGGGUGAACUUAAACAAGGCCUUAAGCCCUUGGAGGAGGUAAUACCCUACAUCCCAUCUAAAUCACGUGUUUAAUGAAUCAUUGAGUACCUUUGCACGUGGACCGUUGCAACAGUACAUCCAUAGCCAAGAAAAAAACUAGAGGCAAGGAAGAAGGGAGCAACGGGAGCCGCUGUGAAAACGAUGAGAGAUGGUUGGUGGAUGAUAGCGUCUCUAUGUCGGUGUCAGUCACACCAAAAAAAUAUAUAGGGUUCAUGAAUUUGUUAUUACAGUUACAUAUAUAUGGAGAAUGAAUAACUACCACCACUCGUUAAAUUGAAGUACUUGCGAAGCUUCGAGAUUUUACAUUCCUAGCUAGCUAAGCUAAGCUAGUUAGUGGCCACCAAGGAUCCUGUGACCUUAAAACCUCAAUCCAGCCACUUGCAUCCAAUGUGUGGUGUGGACAAUAACACUCACACACUGAACGCAUAUCAGUCUUUUUUUUUUCUGGGCGUACCUUAUUAUUAUACGGAUUAUUGCCUUUGUAUAUAUGUAUAUUUCGUGGUAUGUAUAUAUAAAUAUAUGAUUGCUAAAAAUCAAAUAAAGCAGAUGGAUAGAUAUGGAUGGAUGGAGCACCCCAAGUCCACCAAAAACACAGGAAGACUUGGGUAUAUGCGUUUGUAGUGGUACAGAGACUGGAUGCAUGCAUAUGGCCUCCACACGCCCAUCGACAGACACAGAGGCUGGCACACAUCGUUCGAUCGAUGUAUGUAGUAGAUAGCUAGCUAGAUAGAUGGAUGGAUGGCUGGAAGCGACGAUGAGCAACGUGUGAUCCUCGUUGCACAAGCGAUAUCCCUCCGCAGAUAAGCCGAGCACUCACCGCCACUCCCUCCUCCCUCGCCCGCCGACGAUAAAUCAUCGCCGGCAGCCAGACGUAGUCUCCAUUGUCCCCUAGCUAGCUAGCUGGCAGAGCAAACAAAACACUCCAUAUUGUCGCUAGCUACCCAGCUUCUGAUUCUGCUACCUUGCUUAAUUAGCUAUAGCAAUCACACGCUAGCUAGCUAGUACUACAGUCCAGUAAUGGCCACCGCCCUGAGCAGCCUCCGCGCGCCGGCGGCCUUCUCCCUCGGCAUCGCCGCCGCCCCGGCUCCGGCGGCGGCCGCCACCGUGGUGGCGCUGCCCGCGGCCAAGCCGGCCCGCGGCGCCAGGCUGCGCGCGCAGGCCACGUACAACGUGAAGCUGAUCACGCCGGACGGGGAGGUGGAGCUGCAGGUGCCCGACGACGUGUACAUCCUGGACCAGGCCGAGGAGGAAGGGAUCGACCUCCCCUUCUCCUGCCGCGCGGGGUCCUGCUCCUCCUGCGCCGGCAAGGUCGUCUCCGGCACCGUCGACCAGUCCGACCAGAGCUUCCUCGACGACGCCCAGGUCGAAGGCGGCUGGGUGCUCACCUGCGCCGCCUACCCCACCUCCGACGUCGUCAUCGAGACGCACAAGGAGGAGGACCUCGUCGGCUAAUAAGCAGCCGCAUGCCAUGCACACCACACACCACACGAUCUGUAUGGGCCAAGCAAGCUAGCUAGCUACCAUGCCAUGCAUCCAUCCAUGACAGCAGCACAGCUCCAUGCAUCAUCAUCUGUUAUACUACUCUCUUAUUUAUAAUCCAAUUUUACUUCGGAUGCAUGAUAUGAUAUAUGAGUUUCACUAUGCUCAAGCAAAUCAAAUAAUAAUGUUUUUUUUUCUCUCCUCUUCAUUCAGUUUUAUUUGUGCUAGCUACUAUAUAUAUACUACAUAUACUUAACUGAACUUACCAAAAUUCAGUCUCUAAUCCCUGAACCUCCUAUACUCAUACGAGUUAUAAUAACACACUGUUAGCUAGCAGACUAGAUCGUAGAGGAUGAAUUUGGGAAGAACAAAUAGGUAGGAAGCAUAACAAUGCAAGGUAGGAGAGAACAGAGGAUAGUAUUGUUCAGCUCUCAAUCUCCCUUUAUACAUAGCAUUGCCUUAGCGUGAACCCACAGGCGCAGCUAUGUCUAGCCUAUAUAUGGUUCACGCCCACUCGGGACCAUGUUCUUCGCGCGCCUGGCUCAGAUGUCUGGUUCGGGUGCGCCUAGUUCACUGGUCACCGUGUCGCGCUCUGGUUCAGCCUUAUGUACGUGUUGGCCCUUCCACACACUUGGAGUUCAAUUUCUAGAAAAAUCGAAGCGCAUGGAUGUGAUCAUAUGAGACACAAAUCUAUAUAUGACUUCAUCCUUCAAUGAACAGUCAUGACUCAUGGCCUCCACACGCACAAUAACCAAUCAUCAUCAGUGGCCAUCAAUUGGUUUCCACAUUUUAUUUUCCAUGAGUGUGAGUCACUACUUUUGCUCUCAGUAAGUAAUUAAAUAGAAUGUGAAUUUCCGCCCCAUUAAUUCCCGUGAUGAUGAUGUUGAGGGCCGGUAAAAUUCAUGGCCAAAAUUGUUGAGGACGUACGUGAUCAAACAAGGAGAGGUUGGAGUUGGCCCCGCCAAGAAGAUAAGCCUACACGCUGGACUCACGCCAUCCCUUCGUUUCCAUCUCAUCUCUCUAUCUAACUCCAGCAGCCAGCCGCUAGUAGCUCGUCCAAAGCAAGCAGGCACACACACACACACACACACACGCUCCAGCCUCUCCUCGGCACCCACAACGACAUACAAUGGCCACCGUCCUGAGCAGCCUCCGCGCGCCGGCGGCCUUCUCCGUCCUCCGCGUUGCGCCGGCGCCGGCGCCCCCCGCCACCGUCGCGCUGCCGGCGACCGUGGCCCGCGGCGCCAGGCUGCGGGCGCAGGCCACCUACACCGUGAAGCUGGUCACGCCUGAGGGGGAGGUGGAGCUGAAGGUGCCCGACGACGUGUACAUCCUGGACCAGGCCGAGGAGGAAGGCAUCGAGCUGCCCUACUCCUGCCGCGCGGGCUCCUGCUCCUCCUGCGCCGGCAAGGUCGUCGCCGGCACCGUCGACCAGUCCGACCAGAGCUUCCUCGACGACGACCAGAUCGCCAGCGGCUGGGUGCUCACCUGCGCCGCCUACCCCACCUCCGACGUCGUCAUCGCCACGCACUUGGAGGACGAGCUCACCGCCGGCUCCUAAUCAUGCAUGCUUAUCUCUGUUCGUUAUUAGCUUCUUAUUCUUUACGCUCGUUACCUACUGCUUGUUGCUUUGCAAUUGCAAUUAUCUUAUUCAUCAUGUAAGCGUUGAGUUUUCAUCCGUGGAUCGAGAGACUCCCUACCAACCUUAUCUCUUCUUCGUCACGCCAAACGUCCUCGCACGUCGCGAUGUAGACACGGCCCGAUCUUUUCAUUGGUAGAGAACUCUGACAUUUACGAUCUUUGGAACUAAGUUUGAUUAUAUUCAGACCCCACAACCAAUACAUCACUGCUCCCCGUUGGUUAUCAGCCACACACAAUGUGAUUGAUUUGCCGAGAAGGCUUCCUACGAGCGAAUCGAGAACUCAAGUAAGAGCGGGGUGAACAUAAUCUUAAAUUGUAAGUAUGAAUGAAGUAUAUGAAUUUGAUAAGAGAUUCAAAUCUUGAUUCAAAAAGACUAGUCGACAAAGGCAAACAAGAUCAACAUUAGGGGCCCUGGUUCACAACUGUCGAUCUUGAUGAUACAAGUUCAACGAACAAUGCAGCAAACAAUAUAUGUUUCACAACAAAACAAGAACACAAUGAAACCCAACAACCCUAACGGGAGAAACAACGACUAAUUAAAGGGUCUUGGGCGUCAUCACCUCUAGAUGCACCCCCUAACACGAUCCACAGCCAACGAACCAAACAACAAUGUCGCAGCACAGUGGCAAAUUAUGGACAUUGACUUAUUUUGACGAUUCUUGUUGACUCAGGACGAAUCAAAAGCCAUUGGUUAGCUUAUUAAUUAUCUUUCCAUGCAUAUAUUGAUCGUCAAGAAUGGAGUAUGUAUACACUCUCGGGACUGGUCCUAAAAUCCGACAUUGAUUCCAACUUUAGUCGGACUAGGACUCGACCAUAAUGUGGAUGAGUUGGACGCCCACACUAGUCCUCCUAGUCUCUUUGGAUUGUACAUGAAGUAGUGAUGUCAUCAUCACACCCCUCUCUCCAUUGCUGCCCCCGUACACCACCGCCACUUGUUGCCCACUUCGGCGCCGGUGUCGCAUGUUCCUCGCACCACCACCGCCCGCUUGUCCCUACCUCCCCAUAGCAGUGAGGAGGUCACCGUAGCCACCAUGACCCCAUGACCUCCAAGGAGCUCUCAUUUGUGCAUCCAUGACCUCUUGCGUGAGGAGGAGCCCACCCUCUAAUUUGCUGCAAGAUUCGACUCAGUGGUGCGAGCCUGUUUGCUGGUCUGAAAAACCAUGGUUGAAAAUACUGUUCGUUGAUUUAUUGUGAGAGAAAAACACUCAUGGCUGGCAGAAAAAGUACGACUUACAAGACAAGUAGGCUCUUCACAAGAUCCCACGCCUCUUGAUGAGCUGUCUGUGGGCCUCGACCACACCAUUGACAACUCUCAUGCAGCCGCUCCCGUGUCUCUGACGACUCUGAUUGCUUUAGAAGAGCGACAGGGUGCACAAGCGGCUGCCCCUUCCACUCCAUUUGUAGGGAUGGGGCAUCCUGCGUCCCCCAAUAUGAAGGAAUACACCCUCGGUAUCCCGGUUCACUCUUUGACCCUGAAUCAAUCGUCGUCUAAAAUAGUAUGGACACACAUCCAACAUCACUCAACUCUCAAUCCAAACGCACAAUAUAUGUUCAGACAUGGUGUGGAGGUCAAUCCUAAAUGAAUUGGAAUUUAUGUCAUCAUAAUUGAUAAAACUACAAACCUCCUAUACCCAUAUAAGUUAGACCAGCUUAUAUCCUGGCACAAUACAGAAAUCGAUUCUCAUGCAAAUUAUUAGAACUAUAUAGAUGGCCAGAGUACACCCAGUCAUGACUUGUGGCUGCCACACGCACAAUAACCAAUCUGUGGCCAUCAAUUGGUCUCCACAGAUUAUUUUUCAUGUAUUGAGAGUCACCACUUUAUUUGCUCUGUAUAAUAAAUAUAUUUUUUGUAUCCUAAAAUAAGUGCACAUUUUGUACUUCGAAGAGUAAAAUAUUAUCAAAUUUAACUAGAGUUUUUUUUUUAAAAAAAAAUAUUAACAUCUGUACCUUUUAAUAAGUUUACUAUGAAAAAUACAUGAUGAGAUUUAUCUAUCCAAUGAUGUUUGUUUGAGAUCAUAAUCAUUAAAACUUUUUUGUAUGUAUUUAGUCAAACCUAAAAUUUGUUGAUGUGCACUAUAUAUUUUAGGGUGAAGGGAGUACAUACACUGUUCGUUAUUCACAUCACACACACAGUUUCUGGUGAUGUUGAGGGCCGGUAAAAUUGGUGGCCAAAAAUUGUUGGGGACGUUAUCACAUGAAAGGUUAGAGUAGGUCCGUUGUGCUUCCGGCCCCACCAAAAAGAUAAGCCUAACACGCUGCACUCGCGCCAUCCCUUCGUUUAUCUAUGUAUGUAUAUCUGCCGCCUCCUCCUCCUCCGACCCAACAACAACUCCAGCACACACACACACACACACGUAUACAGCCUCUCUUAGCUUAGCAGCUCCAGCACCGGCCGGCCGGCACCACAACAAUGGCCACCGUCCUGAGCAGCCUCCGCGCGCCGGCCUCGACCUUCCCCUCCUCUCUCCGCGUCGCGGCAGCACCGGCGGCGCCGGCCACCGUGGCGCUGCUGCCUGCGGCGGGCAACAAGGUACCGGGCAUGGCCGCCCGUGGCGCCAGGCUGCGCGCGCAGGCCACCUACAACGUGAAGCUCGUGACGCCGGAGGGGGAGGUGGAGCUGCAGUGUCCCGACGACGUGUACAUCCUGGACCAGGCCCAGGAGGAAGGCAUCGACCUGCCCUACUCCUGCCGCGCGGGGUCCUGCUCCUCCUGCGCCGGCAAGGUCGUCGCCGGCAGCGUCGACCAGUCAGACCAGAGCUUCCUCGACGACGACCAGAUCGCCGCCGGAUGGGUGCUCACCUGCCACGCCUACCCCACCUCCGACGUCGUCAUCGCCACGCACUUGGAGGACGAGCUCACCGGCUAAUCAUCAUGUGUUACAUAUGCAUGCAUGAUUGAUUAAGCGCGCGCGUAGUACUGCUGUUGUUUGUUGGUUUUGCAUGCAACUCAUGUAAGCGUGGAGUUUUC
This 46991-nucleotide long non-coding RNA is filed under the name Sorghum bicolor (sorghum). RNAcentral's name for it is "long non-coding RNA (SBIC_LNC011532)". Lineage: Eukaryota; Viridiplantae; Streptophyta; Magnoliopsida; Poales; Poaceae. The record is from RNAcentral.